Molecule: long non-coding RNA, 72502 nt
Filed under: Daucus carota (carrot)
Lineage: Eukaryota; Viridiplantae; Streptophyta; Magnoliopsida; Apiales; Apiaceae
Description: long non-coding RNA (DCAR_LNC003905)
Source: RNAcentral
UACACACCACCACCACCACCAGAAGAUGCUCUAUGUAUGUUACAAAGAAUCAGAACUAUUGAUGUGCAGGAUAUGAUAUGCAUGUAUAAAGAUUGAACACACAAGGUUUUAUUUCAGGAGUAUUCUCCUGCAAAAAGAGACAUUGAGAACUUAGAAGCUGGUCUAGGUUAUUUAUAAAGUCUUCAGGAUUUUUUACCUUUUAUAGUCAUAGUUGCGUAAUUAGGCACAAGUCCACAAGGAAGAUGAAUGCAAUUCCGUGGAGUGAUUUACUUAAUAAUAUGGUGUCUGCUUUGACUAUAGUUUUUACUCCCCAAUUGGUGAUGUAUGUCUGUACUCCUAGACUAAACAGCUUCAUUACAUUGUUUUAGGGGCCUGGAGUUUUAUAUUCACCCUCCUGGUCGUUAGGCACAAGUUUUCUGCCAUGUUUCAGUUAUGGUACACUAUAUGGUUUUCAGCUAAAAAAGAUGAAACAAUGAAGAUAUGGUCUUCCUUGCCCAAUAGGACACUGCAGAAAUUUUUGAGUUUCUUUUUCUUUCUUUUUUGGGUGGGGAAGUGUGCCUUGCGAGAAGCCGUGGAGAUUGCACUGAGAAGGGAAAGGCCAACUGAGGCUACACAGGUCGCAUCACGCAUGUCAAUGUAGGAUGAUUCCAUGUUUUAGGUUGCAUUAGAUUUAAAAGAUAUUUGGUUUAUGGUUAAUAACUCCUGUAAGGAAUUGGAACUUCAAAUCUCAUGUAUAAGUGUUUGGAUUAGUUAUUUGAUUGUAUGGGAAUCUCAAUCCUUUUACAUGGUUAAGUCAUACUCUUCCCAUCCCUUAGAGUUUUCCAAACACCCCUGAGUAGCAUUACUUACAUUAGGAAUAUGCUUACCCAGAAAAUCUAAUAAAGCGCUUAAUUUAAGGUGCCUACUUAUAUAAAAGGUUUUUUUUAUUGCGUGCUCAGUUAUUUGUUCCAACUUGUAGCCUCAUGUAAAUAAGUAAUGGUCUAAAAAAGACAAACAAACUUAUUUUAAUUGCAAAUCAGAAAAUUUUAAAUUAAUAAAAAGGGUUGAAAAAAACUAGGAAGUAACUUAGACAUGUUAGUAUUUAAAACUAAACCUCAGAAAAAAGGGGUAAGGAUUUUGUACACUUUUACAACCAAAUUUCCUAGCAACUAUUUUACAACCUCAGAAACAAAAAGAAAAAGGGUCAACGCUAAAUGGGUGGGAUGAAAAGGCAGAGACCAAAACUGUGUCACUAGUAGAAACAACUAAACAAGAACUAUACAGACCUUUUUAGCCUACUCCAAUUGAACUUGUUAGUUUCCUGUCAUAAAGAAGAAUUCAGAUUGGUGGCCGCUUCACAAGCUCCGGUCCCUUACCUGUCGAAGAAUCAAAUUGCUGCAUCAGCUUGCCUCCGUUUCCUUCAAGUGAAAGCCUUCAUAUACCGAGACCUGCCUGCAGGAGUUGGCCCAUGAACAUGAAAAUUUGUUUGUAUAAAGCUGGCAUUACAAACAGAGAGAAUACUAUUAUCAUUUCAUGAUACAAAAAAAAUUCUUGAACUUAUUCUGGAAAAUAGGAAUCCUUGAUGGAAACACACUUCAAUCACUACAUAAAAGGAUACAUAAAAACAAAAAAAAAUCUCUGAAAACCCUGUCAGAGGCAGACGACAUUUCCAGGCAAAGCUUUAAGAUAAGAGUUGUACCUGAUGAUGGUCCGAAGAUCCGAUGCUUCCAGUAGGAAAUUGGGUAAUCUGUGCAUGCCUCUGGAAUAAUUUUCCUCCAGUACCCAUCCUGAUAUAAAUCUACAUAUCAGUUUCAGGUCUUUUUAACUUCGCUCCCUGAAGUGAUCUCCCAUCCCAAUAUAUAGAAGUAUCAAUUUUAAAUUCCCUCUAGGGUCAGUAAUAGGUUGCCCUUCUGAGGAAUGCAUAAUCAUCAACAUCCCUUGCUAAAUCAGCUGGAUAAGCAUUGCUGUACACACAAGAUUAAAGUAGUGCCUGCUCAAAAAAUCAUGACUUCAAUUACAACCGCAUCAACUACUUGCCAGCAGCAUUUUCCAAGAUGAGCAAAAAUUCACAACCCAAAUCGACAAAUCACUCAUUUAAUAACUGAAGUAUCCCUCGCAUCUGAAGAUACGGAUUCUCCAACAACUUUUCAUUGUUGCUCUGCAAAGGAGUAGCAAGAAAACACAGAAACGUCAGAUACUCAAACCUACAAACUGCUGCUUAUACAGAAAAAGAUUAUCUAUAAUUUAGCAAAAAAAAUAAAAAAAUUAUCUAGUAGCAGAACUAGUAAAUUAAAGCAGAUGACAGGUAAAAAAGGCACUUGUUUCUUUUUCUUUAGCCCUUGUUCCAGAAGUUACCACAAUAAAUUCUACUCAAAGCUCAAAAAACAAGAGCUUUACUAAAUAUUCAGUUAAAAACUUUUUCUUUUGCACAAUAGAUUUAGUAUACAUGACUAUAUACUAAAGUGCCCCACCAAGUUCUCGCUGUUACCAUAUAUCAUUCAUCCAGUGACUUGCAAAGUUGCAGAGGCAGCAUUAUCAAAAAUGCACACUAUAAGCCAUAUAUGCAAUUGUAAGAGAUCGAAGUACCAGAGUGUUCGAAUACUGUCAGAAGUUUAAACCAAAUUCAAACUAGAAAAAGGUCCCACCUGCUGAGCUCUAUAAACAAGGUUUGAAAGCAUCCGUUGGUAACUUUCUGGUUCUUCUGUCAUCAUUCUCUGCAAAAUAAAUCUCAUAUGUUAAUUCGUAUUAACCAGGAAAGAGAACAUGAAAACAAUGGAAGGCUGUAGAAAAUAAGAGAUAGUUUGCCUUUAGAAGGAAAGUUGAAGAGUAAUAUGCCACCCUAGAGUCUGUAUCAUCCAAGAGCUCCCUACCAAAUACAGCAAAAAAGAAGAAGUUAGAUCUUUAUACUACUUGAGAUCCUUUGUCUAAAGUACCCAACUGCGAAGAUACCUAAAGAAAUCGUCACCACCAACUUCUUGGAAAGCAGCAGGUUCAGCAGUGCAUUUGCCAACUAAAAGUAAGAGAAGUGUUGCUCUUAUAUCAGAUGUGGCACCAGGAAUGUUUCCUCUACCUUUACUACCAACAGAAACACCUAAUGCGAUGUUGUCUGUUGCUGCACUGGCAAGUUGGAUCAAAGGCCAGUAAAACAAAGCAGCAGGGACUCGUGCAACCAAUUGCAUGGGUACAACAGCUUGUCCUCGGAGUAGUAGGGCAGCCAUUGAUGCCGUCUCACUUGUUAAAGUAUCAUUCUUGCUACCAAAUUUGUUUUUUGUAUCCUCCAUGGGAUCCUCCCCAUAUAAAGUUCCUGGAUUAGCAUCAUCAUGCAGUGUAUCUCCACGUGACAUUGAACUUGAUGGGAGGACUUUCAGGCACAGUUGAGAAAAUAGAAUAUAGCACAUCUGUGGACAAAAGGCGGAAAAAUAAUAUAUAAUAAGACAGCUACUAACACUAACACCACCAAAAAGACAAUUUUCGUCCAAAUAUAGCACUACAAAGUUUUACCCGUACAUGUUUUGAAGAUUAUAAGUAACAUUACUAAUAAGAAGUAAAGUAGAGAAAGAAAUAUCACCCGUAAAUAAUUAAUAAUAAAAAUCUUGAGUUCUGUUGCAAUCAUACUCUUAGAAACUAAAAUAAUAUAAGAAAUUCUAAUUCCAACAAAAGUUACUAAUACAUUUUAUAAAGUAUUAUUCUCAAAAUUGCAUCUCAAAACCCACUAAUUACAUAUAUUUGUCCAAAAAAGUGGUAUAACCAUUAACAGUUGAUAAACACGGGAUCAAACAGUGAACCAUGUUCUGAUUUCUCAUUAAGAGGGGAAGUAGGAUGAAGUAGUGCAACAAAAUAAAUUAGAUAUAUCUUAUGUGGGGCUUUUUCACAAUAAAUUCAACUUAAAGUAUUUUACUUGUUCAUUUUAAAGUUAUAAAUUUUGUUCGGAUAAGAUGACAUGACAACAUUACCGUCGAUCAAGUUCAACAAAAUAAGUCUACUUUCUUUGAAAAUUUACCUUCAAAAUGUUUAGGCGGUCUGUCUCGUUUAUCUGAGCCACCAAGGACAAUGCAGUACUCAUCACAUCUAUUACUACACUUGCUUUCUCAAGACGACUCUUUUCCUGUAAUUGAUCAGACACAUCAUUGCCUAGAUGCUGGAUCUUUUUCUCAUCUAACAAAAAUUUGCAUCUUACAAGAAGCCUAUCGAGAACAAAUAGAAAGCCCCAUCUGAUGAGGUUAUUUUUUGACUUCAGGAGUCCACAUAAAAGCCAAAUUGAUAUGGGGACUUCCAGAUCCUCUGAAUAAUCAUUGACACCAGCAAGAGCGAUCUUUUGCUGCAAGUUCUUUACAUUUGACCAUAUUGCGUCCUUCUUAUCACUGAUUUCUGCCAUGAGCAAAUCACCUAACCAUAGAUACCCAUUUUGGCGAUACGGAACCCUUUCUGAAUGAAGGAGAGAAUGUAAAGUGGCCCAUGCAAGUUUCGCUUUCAUGCAAACAUCAUUUCUUAGAACCCCAUCCUCUAUACUUUCCAGAUAAGUAUGAGAUUUAGAGAUAUGUCUCAGGUGGGUAAACUCUGUGUCCAAAUUAGAAAGUGAACGAACAAGGGUAUCAAACUUCUCAAUAACCUUUUCUAGGAGCUGCGAAGAGAAGUUCAAAUAUAAAUAUAAGAAAACACAUUCAAGCAAACCAGGACAUAAACAAAUCAUCAGCAGGUAGUGCAUCUAUUCUGCUACCAAUCAAAGAUCUCAUAGAACCAAUAGCCCUAGAACCACAGGAUUAAUUAUAUAUAACUAAACAAAAGAAACUGCAAAAAAUUAAACUAUCCUACUAAAUUCAUGCAAUAUUGGCUAUGACAUCAGAUGUAAAAAUAAAUUUGUUCCCCUGUAUUUAUUACUAGAAAACAUAUAGUAUAUUUUUGUUAUCUUUUAAAAAUUACCAAAUUUCUCGAGUCUUGGGAAAUAAAUAAUGCAUUGCAAGAUUACCAUAUUCAGUCUAUCACAGUUGGCAUAUCUGGACAAGGCAGCAGCUACUGAUCUUCUCAAGAGGUCCCCAACGCCAUCCACCCCAAGCCUGACAGAAAUAUGUAAAGCUUCGGGUGCAUCUGCGAGAGUAAGCAAUGUUGCAAUAACUUGACUCUCGUCAUCACUGUACUCAGAAACUCCAGUAGCCAAGCAUGCCUCGUUUAUUUGAUGCAAAACAUAGUCGAGAAGAAUCAUGUACAGAUUUCUCCUGUCAUCCCUAAGAUUUGCAAGCACAAACUGCACAUAGAAGGCAACUCAAUGAAAUCUCAUACAAUUCUGCAAUGACCUAAACUUAAUGAAAGAAUCUCUUCCGACCAUUAUCUUCAACCUAGACCUUUCACCAAUCACUUAAAAAAAUUCUCAUACAAUUCUGCAAUGACCCUCUUUCUGGUUUCUUCACUUUCUCCAUCUCAUUUCAGUUUAAAGUAUUAUGCCUCUUAAAAGUCCAUCCCACUAAUUUAUUAACUCUAUAUAUAACAUAUCUGAGCUAUAUUAACACAUAAAUAUAUUCUAAACGCUAGUAACUGCAAACUCUAAACCAAGUCUAUUUGACCUUUAGAAGCCAGAAUGGUCAACUAUUUAUUAAUAGAGAUCAUAUUCUCGUAUCACAGGAACAAAAAAGAAAGACUAGUUCCAUACCUCUAUGUAGACAAAUUCGAUUCCUCCGAUCAGAUCUACCUGCUCGACAAGUAUUCUAGGACUAGCCAAAGUUGAAGUCGUAGGUCCAUCAGGAACUUCGUAAAGCAUGUUUGUUAACAUGCAUAUAAGCUUGCAAUGGACAAUUUCUGCCCAGGAGUUCCUUCUGCUAACUUGUAUAAGAACCUUAAUUACCUGCAAAUAGACAGUUCGAAUAUUGAUUAACUAUAUUUUUCAAGUAUAAUAGUUACAGCUUGUCUGUUUUGUAACUCAUCAUUAAACAGGAAUGAGUGCUAAAUGAACAAUCAUAACCAUACAACAUGUAAUUGGAAAAAAAAAAAAUACACGGUGCACAAAAUUAUCCUACAUACUUCAUUACAUCAAAACCUGUAAGUUUGCAAUGUCUUAAUAGCAGAAAUAUGAUCACAAUUUAGUUUAUUAAUCUAACUGACCAGAGGUGCUUUAAACCUAUAAAGUCAAGUGUUCAAAGACACUUCCACGGGAAAAUGAAAUGGAAAGGAUGAAUCAAAAUAGUUCUCCAACUGAAGCUAUUAAUUAGUCUCUCUCUUUCCAAUCAAUAUAAUUUCCAUGAUCCCAUUAUAUGUUGCCUGUAAAAAUCAAUAAAUAUGCCCACUUUAUCUCUUCUUUUUGUUUAACCUUAUAUUCUGAAGCUGAUGCUGCUUACUACAAGACUUUUAUUAUCAGAGUCGCAAAGUUAAUAGCAAGUGAACACAACAUAUCUUCAUUAUAGUUAUCCACCACUAGCAAAAAAUUUCUUAGAAGAUAUUUGUAAAGUAAAGUCUGGAUCACCAACAUAAUUAUGUUACCACACUAGUUAAAAGGGAUAUGGCUGCAUUGAAGGAUAAAACAAUGAAAAUACUGACUUACUCUUGCGUCAAGACCCUCUAAUCUGCUCCUGCGGAUUUUUCCCCUAUGACAGACAAAAUAGAGUAAGCAGCUCAGAGCAGAAGCCCAAAUAGAUUCUUCCUUCUCUUCUAUCUGAGGUAAGUAGGUAAAAAUCCCUUAGAUGAUAAAAUAUGUAAGUGCCUAUUAGGACAACAUGAUAAGAGAUGACCAACUUAAUGCAGCACCUGUGAUGAAAAUUUAAGAAUAUAACAUAUAUAAUGCAGCACAUCUGUGAUGAAAAUUUAAGAAUAUAACAUAUAUUUGAAAAGAUGACAAGCCCAUUCCAUGACUUUGUAACCCCCCCCCCCCCCCCCCCCACCCACNNNNNNNNNNNNNNNNNNNNNNNNNNNNNNNNNNNNNNNNNNNNNNNNNNNNNNNNNNNNNNNNNNNNNNNNNNNNNNNNNNNNNNNNNNNNNNNNNNNNNNNNNNNNNNNNNNNNNNNNNNNNNNNNNNNNNNNNNNNNNNNNNNNNNNNNNNNNNNNNNNNNNNNNNNNNNNNNNNNNNNNNNNNNNNNNNNNNNNNNNNNNNNNNNNNNNNNNNNNNNNNNNNNNNNNNNNNNNNNNNNNNNNNNNNNNNNNNNNNNNNNNNNNNNNNNNNNNNNNNNNNNNNNNNNNNNNNNNNNNNNNNNNNNNNNNNNNNNNNNNNNNNNNNNNNNNNNNNNNNNNNNNNNNNNNNNNNNNNNNNNNNNNNNNNNNNNNNNNNNNNNNNNNNNNNNNNNCCCCCCAAAGUUCUACACUCUGCCGGAAAAAAGUACCUUGAUGCAGUUCACACAACAUAUAGCCUCCUUUUCAGCUAAUUUAUGUAAUAAAUAAAACAGACAUGGACACAAGUGGUGCAUUCAGUUUACAUAUUCCAGAACAGAAGUAAAUACUUCACUAUUAUGUCACAUAAAUAUGCUCAAAUGUUAUUUUACAAUAAAUGCUUUAAGCGGACAAAAUUGCAUGUCAUCAUCAAGCAGUCUUCAAGAAAUGCUUACAAAUGUAUAACCAACCGGGCCCAUACAAUUAAAUAAUUCAUAAUAAACUUCAAUGUUAUCUAUUGGCCCUAUUUGGCAGUUAGAGGUUGGGGCUAUAUUAGAGGUUUGACCAUGUUAAUCCGCUAAUAUUAGUGUUUGGUAGUUAAUGAAUUGAAAUAGUGGUUUGAACACAAAAAGCUACUUGGAGGAGCUUUUUGGAUUAGAGGAUUGACAUGUGUCUAGUUAAAGUACAAAAAAAAAAAAAUCAAACAGCUAUUUACCAAACAAUUUCACACGAAACAGUUAAUUCAAUCUGCUAGUCAAGACAACUACUUUAAUCAACUAGUCAAAACAUCUACUUCAAUCCACUAACAGUUAACCUCUAAUUUUCAAACAGGACCAUUGUAUUCUCGCCUUGCAUAUGUUCAGGAGAAUAUCAUCUUUUUUUAUGAUUUGGAUUAUAAGGGGAAAAAAUGGCGUAAUCUAGACUACCUGAACAAGAUGUAGUAGAACCUCGUACAAUAUACCCAAAAUCCAAGACUCAAACUUAUCGAUAGCUGAGGAGUUCGCUGUCUUGUAAUAGUCUGGCUUUACUGUUCCUUGAUUUGCAAGUUGUGUUUCGCUAUCGAGAUAUGGUUCAUGGGAAUAUUCUUCUUCAAUAGUGGAAGCAUCAUCUGCUACCAAAGGCUCCAACAACUGAGCGUGCACUCCAAGAUUUAAAAUCAAAUCAAAAGCACGAGAUUUUGAGUCUAGAAGAGGAGAAUUAAGCAUUUCCUGAAGAUAAAAUUCAUAGCAUUAACACAAUUAUAUAACUAUUAAUUAUAUAUAUUAGAUAUAUAAACAGUAAUAUCCAACUGAUCAUUUAUAAUAACAAUACGAAAUUGAGAAAGUUUCACGACCUCUAGCAUUGACAGAGUCAGAGGAGCCGCUGUUGCAGAAUCCAUAACGUACCUACAGAACCAUGUUGUUCCACAUUAAUUACAGGGGAAGGAAAAAAAAAAGAGAAAAGAACAGUCAUGCCAUAUAACUUUAAAAUUCAGUAUAUUAAUCUGACUGAACCUGUAGUCUACUGCGACAAUUAGGACAACAAUUGUCAUAUUUGACAGGUUUUUUAAUGUAUUCAAACAUCUACAGCAAGGAAAUGAGUGGGGUAACCUUUCCAUAUAUACUAUAUGGAAUUUGUUGGUACCUUAUCAUCAUGACCUUUUUCCCAAAAAAAAAGCUUAAAAACAGCUGUAGCCACAAACAUAGGCACCCAUGAGAACAUAAAAGGACUUUAAGGAUAGCAAGAAAGAUGUUAAGAUUACAUUAAAGGAUGAUUGAUAUUAUUUUCGACUAAAGAGACCGAGACAACUCAAAACUUCGAAUAAUCAUUUAUAGGAAGCCUAAAAGUGUCACACGAGGAAGCUUAUAGGCCAACUAUUUAACCUAAAGAUAAGCGAUGUUGCAUCUUUCCAGCAACCUAUAUUUUUACUGUUAAAAUUUGUAUAUGCCAUGGUACAACAGAGAAAGAAGAGGAGGCAUUCGGCAUGCUAUCUAGUGUCUAGACAAAAUUGUUAGGGCGACGGUCAAUUCACUCGAAAACCAGAAUAUUGGUACAAGAUAGUGUAGGAACACAAAAGAACAUAGUUAACAGAAAAAAUGAACGAAGCAAUACAAGCAAACAAAUUAUGUAAGACAUACAUGUCAAUAACAAGUUUUAUAAGGACGCUCACGGCAACAUCCAUCGAUGGCUUUCCACUGCUGCUACUUAAUUUAGACGUCAUGGUCAUCAGGUUAGCGGUCGGAGAAGGUGUUGCUGAGCAUACAGCAGCAAUGACCUCACACACCUCCACAGAAUUUAACUUUAAUGGUUGCUGUUCACUGAAAUAUAUAUACAAAAAGAACAUAUAUAUAUUAGUAGAUAUAGUCAGAUGUAGUAUGGAGUUAUACCAUGGCAACAUGGUGACUUUCCUGAAAAUGUUUCUUUUAUAUAAAGCUGCCCAACUCUUUUUGCCCGGAACAUACUAUUAUUAGGCAUCCACACGACAGUAAAAUUGAUAAUGCAAACACUUGCAUAACUCCUCAUCUAUGACACAGAAAAUAGCAUAAAUUUAGGAAUAACUUAUUUACAGUUUAAUAUAUACCUGUAAUGGCGGUAUUGAAAUAGUGGUCGAGGACGUGGGCGGUAAGUGCUCACAUGUGAAUCUUCCCUGCAAACAAGUAACAUGAUUCUCAAAUUGUUUAUAAUAGUUAAUAGGGUCAAAGAGGUACUGGGAAAGUGCCUGUGGAGCUGAAGGGAGAGAAUCUAUAGUUUAGAAUUUGGAACUAAGCUUAGGAACUUUGAAGCUUAGAAAUAAAUUGUUAUGCUUUGGAUUUUUUUUCCGAGUUCAUACCCUAAGCAUGCAAGUUUCUAAUCAAAUCUUCUAAUUUCUGAAAUCAUAUGUUGUACAAAAAUUACUGGAUCCAGCUAGUGUGUAAGUUUUCUUGCCGGGAAAUGUAAAUCAGUAUUACAUUUUCGGGUUAUGUGUAAAAGCGAUUUAAAGUAGAUUGUUGAGGAGCCUUUGAAUGAAGCAAAUUAAUUUUUGUCCUUAUGCGACAUCCUUAUUUGGAUAGAGAUCAUUGAGAGUUGUAUCUUUAAUCCAAGUUUUGGUAUCUUCAAUGAUGGACAAAACCUUUAUCACGCUUCCAGCUGUGGCAGUAUAUUUGAGUUUGAUUUUUUAAUAAAUUAAUUGAUAAUGGACAAAGUCACACAGUUCCAUAAUACCCUACUUCAGCAUUAGUACUCGGUGGUAAUGCCAGUAUUAAUGCUGAAGUAGGGUAUUUUAGAUUCGCACAUUUAAUGACAAUACGUCACCAGUUAAGGAUAUUAUUGCCUUGCUAGUUUUGUUUUCAAAAUUUUGUUAUUACUGUGUCUAGAGAUGCAAUAUUUCAUCCUUAGUGAUUUAUAGAUCGUAAUUUAUAAGGAUUUAAGCCCAUACUUAACCUUAAUAAUUGUAAAAGCCCAAACAUGAAACAGAGGAAACAUGCUACCAGUACAAAACCAAGAACUCGAAAUGUUAUGUUCAAAAUAUAGAGGCGACGACCACUAUUUGCUAAAGGUUGUACAGUCUAAUUUCUUUCGAAUUCAUGAUCAUAUCCUACUACAAAAAAAAAGUGCAAUAGGACAAUGUUCUUACUAUAGAAAAUUGCAAUGAUCAAUAAUUGUUUCCCCCAUUAGGUUACAUAUGGGGAUGAAAGUUUAUGAGUUGCCCAACCUCCCAGUACUUGCUUCUUAACAGUUACAAAAUUAAACGUAUUUUUCGUAAUUCUUAGCUAAAAUGGUUUUAAAGCUUAUGAAAUAGCAAAUUCUUAGCUAAAAGGUUUUGGUUUAAAGCCAUUAGAGGUCUUAUAAAAACCCAUGUAAUGUGGAAGGCUUUGAGAAAUUUUGUAGAAUAUGAGAGAAGUGCUCUCACAAGCAUUUCUUUACCUCCAACCCCACUCCUUGAUUCUUCUUUCUGUAUUUUGUUACUAUUAUCUUUCUAGUUCUCUCUCAUAACACGCUAUAUAUGCUUUAAUCUCUAAUUAUAGGCAACUUUAAGAUUCAAACAUAUGUAACUCUAAGUUCCAACAUCAACAUGAACCAAAUUUUCACUUAGCCCGAACAUAUUCUUGACUGAAAAUACAUGUCAAUAUCCCCAUAUUAGCGUCUUUUAAGGUGGUUAUUUGUCAGUUGUACUACUGAAAGAAUAUAAAAAAUAGGACAGAUAGGAAAGUAAUAUAUUUAACAAUGACAUUAUUAAGUAGUAAUUUUCAAAGCAGCAGGUUUGAGUAGAAAGGACAUGCCAUAUUUGUAGAGAGCCUGUCUUAGAGCGUUUAGAUGCUGUUAUUGCUCUCAUAUGGGCACGGGCAGAGGCGGAGUUCGUUACAGUUGUAAGCAAUGAAGUCUGGAGCAAUUUAUCAAAGUAGGGCAUAUCAACUGCCCCAAAACUUCUCCAAAGUUCACCCUUCAUUUUGGCUUCCAUGUCUCCAACAAGGAGUGCAGCCGCACCAACUUCAAGAAAACUGUGUUUGCUUACCUCUUGGCAAUUCAUAAUAUGUUCACUGCACAAAUAAGUUAGCCAACACAUUAUAUAACAUAAACCUGAAAUAAAUGACAAUGAACAAAUUAUGCUGUAGAACAUAAUUAGUCCAAGCAAAUUAUUAACACUACAGUGACAUUUAUUAUCUACCUAUCAGGAGAAAGCAGUGAUAAUCGCUGAUGUCCUUGCCAACGCCAUUUGAAAAUAUCAAAGGCUAUGAACUCGAGACCUUCUAUACCGUCAACUGUCUCGAUAAUCGGUGAGUUUGAAACAGAAGCAGCUGAUCCUUCUUUGAGAUCUGAAGAGUCUUUAGCACCAGCAGGGUUCAGGUGGGAAUUGAAAGACUUGCUCAACAGAGAUGACAACGACGGGAGUAAUUGCCUUGAUGUUGCAGGAACACCAGUAAGAGCAGCAGGUUCAAAUGAUCGUUUUGGGACAUGUUGAGCCACUAGAGAACGAACAUAAUUUAGAGAUUUAACAAGUGCUCCUGAUGCAAAACUUGACACGGGCAACGGAGAUAUAUUUGAAGAUGUUGCUGAAGCUCCAGAUUUACUUGAAGAUCUCGACCAUGUUGACAACUUCCUAGUGGGGCUAAUAUUACACUCGCCAAUUAUGCUCACACAAAACCGGUCUAUCUGUAGUAAUGUCUCCUCACUUGGCUUAUAUCUGUAAUAAUUGCCAGCAUAAUUAACUUUCUUUUUUCAUGUUUAUAUGCAAGGCUGGCUAUUAACCUGUGCAGUCAGCCAAACUGCACAGGGCCCCCAGUCUAGGCCCAGGUAUACAUGUUAAAUUUAUUGGACAGAAUAAACCCAACUCUAGAAAAAAGAAGAAGACACAUAAAUAAAACAUAAGAGUGUUUGGUGAUUACUAAUUUUUUAUAUGAUAAAAUAUGUAAAUUAUUGUUAAGUUAUGAUCAAAGUAAUAAAAAUCAAAAUUUUUUGUUAAGGAUGUACUGAGAUGCGGUGUGAAUUUUUCUUCAAUAAAAGGGUCCAACAUUAAAGUUUAGCACAAGGCCUCUUUUAUGAUUGAGCAGGGCCAGUUUACAUGCAUAUCUUUGUUUAUAUCACUGUCCCUGCCAAGAUAACUCUAGAACACUAGUUUUUAUAUAGGUGCUAAGCCCCUGACUGUCUAAAUACUACUUAGGAGUGAAGCUAGUAAAAGGUGGAGAGAGAACAAUGUUGUGGUAGUAUAAUGUAUAGUACCAAAUGUUCCGUGUGAAUCUCAAAAUGGAAAUUUACUUAUUAGUAAUCAACCUUUAAAAACUAGCAUAUGGCAAAUUCACUACCUAGUCUCUCACAAUGGAAAACAUAUCAAUGAUUAAAUUAUGUAACUAUAUUUUCUUCAAGUGCUAUAAUUCCAAAUAACACUUUAAUGCAUAAUUGUACAUGUUCUGCACAUGACACUACUUUCUUUAAAAAAAUCAUUAUAUAACAGUAGAAGAAUAAGAAAACCAAAUAAAAUGUGCAAAAAUUAUACAGAUGAUAAUAAGCAGAGAUUAGAAAAAGAAAGGGAGGAAUGAGAACUAAGACAGGUCACGAUAGUGAGAAGCUAUGGGCCGGUUUAAUUAGAGAGAAAUUGUUCUAGUUUUUUAUCUCUCAUUUUUCUAAAUUUUCUACAUAAAAAUCUUCUUUACAAAACUUCUAAAAUACGGGAAAACAUGUUCCAAAUUCUUUGAAGUCUCCUGCCAAGAGAAGUAAACAUACAUAUUUCUUUGAAGUCUCCUGCCUGGUUCGGUAGUAGGUAAAUUAAAUAAUAACCCAUUUAAGAACAUCAUGCAUGCAUCUAUAUGAUUUAGUCUAACAAUUCGAAUGUGGACAACGAGAGGUACAAAAAAAUGUUGCAUUUUGUACGACGAUGAAAAUGCUAGUGAAAAAUAAAUUAUUUUUUAUUUUUUUGUGAACAAAAAAUCUAAGUUAAUAUAUAUAAAAGGAAGGUGCUUUUGGAUUUUAAAAGUAACAAAGUUAUGAAUGGGCUGCGAGACAGAAAUGUAUUCUUAAAAGAAUAAUAUUCAUAAAACAUCUAAAAUUCCUGAAAGGGUAUAAAUGGGUUUAACCUAAAAUAUAACCUCUACUUGUAAUACUCACAUUGCUUUUCAGUUUUUAAACUAUAGUAUAAAGCUAUACGGAAAACACUUAAAUAUAAUCUAAAUCAGAUUACUAAAACUUUCUAAAUUAUAGCUAAAAUUAAGAAACAAUGUUUUGCCAUAUUAUACAGUUUAAAUAUGAAAAACUGAACUAUUGAACAUGUUUCCAAUUUAUUUUUAUUUUCUAAAUUUUCAUCUAAGAACUGGGGAAAUAAACAGGCCCUAUGUCGUUCACUAAAGUCGCUCAGGGAGUUGUUAGUCACAAAGUUCAAAAAACGGACCAGGGUUUAUCAUCAUAACCCAGAUUAAAUUGGUUGGAUCCAAAUAUAUUUGAGUCUGGUCAAAUAGAUCUGGAGGGUUAACCCAGGCAUCAAGGACUCUACGAAAUUUUUUAAUGCCAGGACGCCAUGUUCUAAGCCAUAAUAACACUAAAGCUAAUAAUUGUUUUAAGAAAUGUGAAGAUAUUAAAGAUCCAAAUUUGCCUUGCAGAUUCAAAAUCCAGGGAGUAAAUGUUCAUAUAUACAUACAAACAUGCACAGUUAACAUUAAAUAAAUUUCAAUAAUAAUAAAUACAAACUACGUAAACAAGAUGAAUUUCAAUGAUAAGCACAUUUAACAUUACAUAAAUGAAUUAAGCCUAUAAUUCUAGGAAUGCUUUUAAGCAAUGGAUAUACAUUUUAUCAAUGUAAACAAAAACAGAAAGAUAUAGGAUUAAUAUGUAGACUUACCGUAGAAGAUACCGUUUCAGGAGUGCCACGCACCUUGUUACUACAGCUGGGCUGAUGCACAGGAUGUACUAUUAGUGCAAGAGGAUAUAAACAGAUUCUAGUGCACAUAUAAUAACUAUAAAGUACAAUACCAGUAGGAAAUAGCUUAAAAAAGAUUUCUGCAUCAAAAGAUAACGCCUAGCUUGCAAAUGUAUUUUAGAUAUAGCAUUCCAUGAACCUUGCUCAAAAUUUGUCAGUAAUAAUUAUAGAUGUACGGCUAGAAAAGUAGUUUAUAUCUUCAGAUGAAUUUCUAUUCAGAGGAGAAUUUCAUAUAAAAUAAACAAAGAUGAAAUGUGGCAUACCCACUGCAUAAAAAGAAUGAUUAUCAUGCACAAACCACUAAGAAAAAAUAAUUGCAAGCUACCUUCUCUCCCUCUCUGCAAGUGUAUGUUCUAUGAUUACACUGUAAGCCAAGUCGGUGGUCGUUUGUGCAGCCAGAUAAUCCUGCCAAAAUAAAUUUAAAAAAUCUUACUAAAUAUAAAGCAAGCAUUAAACACCAGUGAGAAGCUUACAUCUACUUGACAUAUAAUCCGAAUACAUAAUCCUGGGAAAUUAAUGCCAAACCAAACAAUACACGUUUUUAUUAUGUUUUCCAUAUACAAACACAAGCAUGGAAUGCCAAUAACUACCUAGUUACAUCAUAUACCAUAAACAUCCAAAUAAUCUUCAAAUCACAACAAACAGAAAUCAUAUAAUAUGUAUAACUAUCCAGUACAAAGCAUCUGCAGUAGUACAUGUUCAAAAUUGUCCUCUUCAAUGACCUAAUUACAAUUUACCAUUGUGUUUGUUCAAAAUUGUCUUCUUCAAUGUCCUAAUCACGUAAAACUACAUUAGAUGUACUAAGCUCACAUAUUCGUGCAAUUUCACAUUUCCAACCCUCUUUCAAUAAUCGCCACAUUUUCCACAAUAAUGUCAGAUACAUCAGUCAAUCAAAUUGUACAUCGACACAAAAAAAAAAAAAUCACAUGAUCAACUGGCUAACACACACACACAAAAUUUCACUAACAAAACAAAUUCCAAGCCCUAAGCUCCGAAAAAACCGGAUAAAAGGAGGCGAAAUCGAACCCUUAGAAUGCGAAACGCUUCGGAGGCAACGGCGGAGGGAUUGCCGGGAUGCGACAGCGACAGCGAAUCCGCGACGGCGCGGCGGAGCGGCUCCGGCGGUUUCUUGACCGACGACGAUCUCAAUCGCGACAUACUCCCGAGCUGUAACCUGGAGCUCCCGGGGCUCCGAUUGGGACUGUAACUCGUGGCCAUAAUGUAAGUAUAGUUGUGUGUGUAUGUGAUUGAAAUUUGAAAGCGAGAGAGAAGUGAGUGUGAUUGAGCAAUCGAGAUUAUUAUUGAGAUGUAGAAGAAGAGAUGUUUGAAUAAUUAAUUAUUAUUCCGACUUGCACAAAAUGUGAUAAUCUACGUAACGGUUGUGUAUGUAUACUGCUUGUACAGCUGUAGAAGAAGUGGUCUGCUUUAUAGCUGGCAUCUGACGUGGACUUGUCGUUGUGAUGGCCGUAGGGGUGUUUUCGUCCAACUAAAAUACUGUGAUGUUUUUAUUUUUAAAUUAUUAAUGCAUUUAAUUGGAAAAUAGUAGGAAAGAAAGCACAAAUUUAGAAAUAUAUUAAAAUUUUAUUUUGGAUUAAAAGGACAUAUUUCAAUGUUUCAUCGAGGGGGGAGUAUCAAGUAUGGUUGUCCUUGUGACAAAAAAAAAAGUAUGGUUAUCCCAUGCUUACAAAUUAAUAUAUUGUUUUUUAUUUGUUUUUAGGGACGAUUUGCUAGAAUUGAUUUUCACCGUAACAAAAUCAAAAUUUAAGAAACAAAAACUUAUGUGGAAUUGGUUUUCAUGUGAAUCAAAAAAAUUUCGAUAAAAACUUAUAUUAAAUUGUAAGAACAUGUAAAAAUGGCACAAUAUGUUUCAUUCAUGAGAGAUUUUAUAUUAUUAGCCUUACACGUGCGGAAGUACGAGCACUACUAGUAUUGAAGGGAGAUCUCCCAUGGUAAAAGCCCUUAGUUAAAAUUAUCUAGAUGACACUUAUUUGGCAUCUACGUGUCACUUUUAAGGAUUAUGUAAAAAAUUUGGAAUUUCAACCCUCUCUUCCUUUAGCAAAAAAUAUAGUCAACUAUUUUUAGUUGGCUAUAUUCGUCGAUCAAGAAAGCCUUCAGAUAUAGUUUUACAUAAGCAUGAAUAUAAAUAACCUCAUUGGAAUAAUUACUAGACCCUUUAACAAAAAAUUUACAUAUUUAAUAUAACCAAUGAAAAUAGCCAUCCCAUCUUCCUAGUUAUUCUUUCUAUCUCUGAUUUUGAAGUCUGUUUUCCUGUACCUUCCACUAGUAACGGAAAAUAUUUGGUUGCCUUUAAUUGCGUUGUCACAAAGCAGGAACUAUGGAGGGCCAUCAUCAAACUAUUAUAAUGGUCAUCUUCUCAAUUUAAAAUUCUCUUCUUGAAACAUAAACUAAAAAAACUAGAACAGAGAUUUCCAGGAUCUCUUGACAUGUAUCUGAGUAGAAAAAUAUGGCAGAAAGAGAUUCCAGCAAUCUCUUGAAAACAAUCCUAUAAAAGUUUUCCACAGUCUGGAUCUUUUUUAGAAUCAGUCUCAACCUGUUGACUAUAGUAACUGCUGUCUGAACUCAUCAAUAAUACCUACGAGACCCGCGAUCAAACAAUCUUCUGGAAGGGCAUUCAUAUUCUAUGUGACCCAUUCCACCACAAUUAUGGCAGAUCAUUAUGGACACACAGUCACGGGAUAUGUGACCAGGAUGUCCGCAAGUAUGGCAGAUAAUGUCACGGAAAGGCCCUCCAAACAUUUCUGGUUCUGGCAAACUCCCCUUGGGACAUUGGCGAGCCACAUGACCCGAUAUGUAGCAUAAGUUGCAUACAGGUUCAUUGCUACAAUCACGGGCAAGGUGACCAGUUUUGCGGCAGUUGUUGCAAGCUUUCUCAUUGGUACAGUGAGCAGCAAUGUGGCCUGCCUUGUAGCAGUUAUUACAAAGCCUUGAAUCAUAAGUUGGCAAGCUUGGGUGAAAGCAAUCACGGGCUAGGUGACCCAUCUUGCCACACAUAUGACAAACUGGAUCAUUGGGGCAUUCACUCGCCAGGUGUCCUGGUUCUUUACAAUUCCAACACAUUGUUGUGGAAGUGCACUCAGCAGCAAUGUGACUGAGAUGAAGAAAAGAGAAAAGAAUAAAUAUUUGAAGAAAGAAAAGUAAUACACAUUCUAUAAUUAACACCAUCAAAUUAGUAUCACACUGAUGUUUCCAGUCUUCUAUUCCUUUCCUAAAUUAGCAGUGGAAACCUCAUUAUGGUUUCCACCGCAAUUAUUCCCACAAAAGCUAUGGACUGUGACAACAGCAUGCUUAUACCCAUUCAUGGUGGAUAACACUUCAAUUUAUUAUGCAGCUACAGAGAAUACAGAAACCUAAUUUACUGAAAAGCAUGGAUUACAGUUCCAGAAGGGAGAAGAUAUGUAUACCCGGGAAAUCCACAAUUGUUGCAAACAGUCACAUUUGGACAAUCUCGAGCGAAAUGACCUGGCCGCUUACACUUGUUGCACAAAUAAUCUUGCCUAGAAGAUAAAAGCAUCUCUUGUAAGCCAAAACAAUUUAAUUUCUUUUAAAAGGCAAAUCUCAUGUACUUGGGGAGAAGUUUGUAAAUCACAUAUUUAGAUCAUCAAAUGAUGCAUUUUGCCCUUCAUUCAAAUCCAACACAUAUUCAUCAUUUGGAGGACAUAAAGAGUGUGCCGAAUUAGCAUAGGUUUACACCUUAUUUAAUAGAAUAACAAAUGCAUCUACUUCACACCAUCCUAAAAAAUCCUGCUGCCACACUAGAAGAACUAUAAGUAUCAUCAGACUAAGGGUCUCAUUGAAGAACAACAUAUAGUUUUCCUCCAAGUACAACAAAAGAGUCUUCCCAUUUUAAAACAUAUAAUUUACAAUAGUUAAAGUUCUACCAUAGGCAACAAAUUACAAUAUAAUAAGUAAUUAAGAAUGAUGUACAUAUGUAAAGCUAAACAAAACGGUGAGUAUUAGAGAAAAAAUACGAUGAAAUUGACUUUUACAAGUUGCUAGCUACAAAUGCCUAAACUGUCUUAUUCAUGGAAGGCGGAACACAAAUGCUUAGUAGAAGGAUAACAAGUAAUCUAAGCAAGCGCCGGGAAUGAGAUGCAAGACAAGUGUCAGGAUUAGCCAGGUAUCUCUAGUACAAGAGACAACUUUAUAACUGGUAAGAAACCGAUACUAAUGCAUGAGAAGUCUGCUAAGAAGUCUACUAGAAGUUGCAGGUAGCGAUCGAAAAGUUGGCUAAGAACUAUAUAUACUAGUUCAACUGUAACUUUUAUUGUGUUGCUUUCAGAUAGGAUAUAUGAGAAGGUUUUUCAGGUUAACUACCACCAAAACUAAUCUCUCUAGUUUCUAUCUGCAAAUUCAACUAGGCUUUUCUUCGUUUAUAGGCUCUGUUCUUUAUCAACUUCUCCACAUCUUCCUCAUACGAAUUCUCAACUCAAAUGCAUGCCAUGACAGAAACAGAAUUGCUAAAGCGAAGAAAUAGAAGAAUAACAAAAGAUUAAUAUUAUGAUACCUUCUUUGGUCCCUCCUGUACGGUGCAUCACGAUAGUGCUCUCGAUCACGGCUACGGAACCUCCUGGACCGUGGUGAACUUCUCCUGACCGGGCUCAUACUGAAUUGUUAAAUUGCUACAAUUCUUCUAAGCUAUAUGAAGUAAAAAAUCUUAUCCAAUACCAUCAGCACCAAAAUGUGCCUACAUCAAUAUAAAAUAGAAACUGUCGGAAACCAAGGUCAGCGAAUCAUCUCUAGCUAAAAAUUACCAAAAAUUUUAAACAACCUAAAAGCACGUAAUCUCAAUUCAUAACAACGACUCACAGAAAAUAAUCAAGGAAACCUUACUUUACUGCACAACAUAACUACAUAAGUAUCACUAAUUUCCUAAUAUAAUCAGCCAAAGAAAAAACCGCAAGUAUCAGUACAGAACACCACAUAUUUCCAUACGAAGAUAAUAAUUUAGACUUAAUCGAUCGCUGAAACUAUAAAUUCAGUCUAAUCACUGUUCUCAUUUAGUAUAUUGCCCACUGUUUCCAAAUCAGUCCAACAGAUUAUUGACUACUUCCCUUUCUGCCGAUACGCGUUGUUCAAAUACAUAUCCAAUGUAAUAAACCGAGUACUCGUCCCUAAUUACGAAAUUCUGGUCCGAACUUAACAAAAACACCCUACAUUUGUCAUAAUAAUACCUUCCACACAAACCUCGAAAAAACGAAUAAAACAAUCAAUCACACAGUAGAAUUCGAAAACAAUUGAUCGAAGAUCAAAAUAACAGCCUCCAUAAAUCAUUAUAUUUCACUUACAUUCAAACAAUUACAGCACUAACAAUGUAAUUAAUUGAGCUUCAGUAAACAAUAACACAUAAAUCUCUCACAGACACAGCGUUAUGAUGAUUAAAUGAAGCAUUUGAAGAAAUAAUACGAGUGGCGCAUCAGGUAUAAACGGAGAUAAAACAUACCUGAUGAAACGAAACCCUAGAUCAAAGCAGUUGUAAUCUGUGUGUUUAUAACAAACUCGGGCUUUUUAAGCUUGUUACGCUGUCGUAUCAAUUAUGCAUGCGUGUUCUUUCUUGCCCUCUAUUAUUCUCUCAUUUCAUUUAUUUUGUUAGUUCAUUUUUUUAAAAAUUGUUUUAAUUUUAUUUGGCGAACUUAUAUUUCAUUUAUCUGCGGGCGAACAAGAUAUUUUAGAUAGUUACUACUUUAAUUACCAAUUAUUUUAAUAAAUUGAUUUCCUCUUCAAAUAUUCAAGUAAAAAUUAAUCUUAGUUAUAUAUUUUCCUCAAAUUCAAAAGUACGUGAUAAACGAUAACAAUGAUAUUGCAUAUAAAUUGUUAAUUGAAUUUAAUAUUAAACAUUUUAUAAAAUUUGUUAAUUCGUAAGAUAUUUUGUUUUAAUAACACUAGCUAAUAUUUUAAAAAUAAGAAAUCAUUCUUUUUCUCCUGUUUCAAAAGAAGCUAGGUGAGAGCAUCUCCAAUAAACUCUUAAAAUCACUCUUAGAUAUAGACCAUGUUUAGAAGUUAGAGCUUUGGGGUAAAAUUAGAGGUUUGGGGUGAGUUAGAGGUUUGACCACUAGAAUCCGGUAAUACAAGUGUUUGGUAGUCAGCGGAUUGAAAUAGAGGUUUGGACCCAAAAAGCUAAUUUUGAAAAAGCUACUUUGAGGAGUUUUUUCGGUUAGAGGUUUUGGUUUGUGUCAGAAAAAGCUAAUCAAUCAGCUAUUAACCAAACAGUUUUACGAGAAACAGCUAAUUAAAUCCGCUAGUCAAAAAAUCUAUUUCAAUCCGCUAGUCAAAACAUCUAAUUCAAUCCGCUAACAGCUAAUCCCCAAACAAGGUCAUAAUAUAAGUUAUUAGCUCUUAUCAAUUUAGUGUACAUUUACUCCAACAAUACUCCUUACAUUCACUCUUCAUUUAUUUUUAUAUUAUUAAAAGUAAAUUGAACUCAUAAAAAGACAAACGAAAGUAGAAAGAAAUAGAGGAUGUGGAACAAAAAUUAUAAUAAAAUACUUAGUAGUUAAGAGCUAUGUAGUGGCUGCUAUAAGUGAGGAGAGAGAAGAAAGUCUUAAGCUUUUAAAGAACUUUUAAGAGUUUUUUGGAGUUCAAAAUUUAGCAUGGCUUAUUUUUUAACUUAAAAGCUCAAAUAAAGAUUCUAUCGGAGAUGGCUGAGAUCAUAUUGAUAUUCGUCUUUGCAGCAAUAACUGUAAUACUAGGUUUGCUUCAAGGAAAAAUGGUUCGACAGAAUAGGUAACAUGCGCAAGACUCUCACUUCCAUUCUGUACCUCCUUCCAUUACCUUCAAAACAGUAAUGCGAUUUUCAAUGAAUUUUCACGGCUUUCCGAUCGUUUCUUAAACUAUUGAAAGUUGAGUUUUGUUUCUCUGUCAGCAAAUUUAACAAAUCAAUGGACAGGAAUAAUUUGGAUUUAACUUCACACAUAUUGCAAAUGCCACCAAGAACUUCUCCUGCAACAAUAGAAUCGGAAAAGGCGGCUUCGGAACUACUUCGACACCAGUAGUCCCACGGAUAAGAAUUUCACUUGUGACUAAUCUUUGUUUCUGCUAAACAAACAAAUGUAUUUUCUUCUGUAGGGAGGUUGGAAGGACAGGAAAUAGCUGUGAAGAGGCUCUCGAAGGAUUUGAGACGAGGAGUAAAAGAAUUCACAAAUGAAGUUUCAUGCAUAGCUAAACUUCAACACAAAUCUAGUGAGGCUUCUUGGCUGCUGCAUUGAGAGAGGGGAGAGGCUUCUGAUCUAUUAAACAUGCCUAGCAAAAGCUAAGGUGUCUUUAUUUUCAGUAAAAUCCUAUCAAAAACUGUCAUGAGUUGUAAAUUUAGCAACGAAGUCAUUACUCCAACACAAAAGAAAACUGAAUCUAUAGCUUCGGUGUAUCAUUGCUGGAGAUCACAAGUGGGCAGAAAAACAAAUGAUGUUAUCAUCCAGAACACAAUCUCAACCUUACUGGACAUGUAACUAUGUAAGUGCACUCAGAUUCAGAUAGGCUUGCCUAAACAAAUGCAUCAACUAAUUUCUUAGGUAUGGAGAACCUUUAAUGAAGGUAAGCUCGGGGACUUUGCUGCUAGUCUGGUUAUUGUGCAUGCAGGAAUAUUUGGAAGAUAGGCCUAACAUGUCAUCGGUGUAUCAAAUGCUGACAAGUAAUAACGCAUUUCCCAGUCCUAAACAACCGGGAAUUUUCUUUACGAGAAGAACGAGCAAUAUGCCAAAAAGCAAACAAUCAAUUCAGAAAGUACUUUCUUAGAAUGGAAUAGUAUGAACGAGAUAUAGAUAAGGAAACAGACAUAAAGAACAACAAAAUCUGAAGAUAGCAGGAGAUAUAGGUCGCAAAACAGUCAAUUAUUGAUAUAGGCAAAUUCAGCAGCCAAACACUUGAGAGUUCAGCCUCUCAGACACAACAAACAGUCAUAGUUACACACAAACAUAGCAAGAGAACAGUUGGAGUUCGAAGUAACAUAGUAAAAGUUACACAGAUUGACUUAUGCGCACACUUCAAACAAAGAACAAAUUUGACAUUCCUUAGAGCAGCUGGUUCAUUUUAGAAAUAGCUCCAUGCCUCUAACGCAGAGUAGCGACCUACCAGAACAUGAAAGCCCUGGAAAACAAAGGGUAGGGAUUUACACAUCCGAGUGAGAAACAAACCACAUCCCUUCCAUCAAAUAAACUUACUAAUGAUAAGUAAGAUUAAAAAAACCCACAAAACCAAGCAAGUUGACAUCUUCACAUAAGUAGAAUUUCUAGAAAUUCAGUUCCUUGUAAAGAAACGCAAAACUACCUGCGUCAGAAAGGCAGGAACAACAGCAGUCGGAGACUCUUCAGAUCCCUGAAGAACCAGCUUGAUGUCCUGCAAAAGCCACCCAUUGCAUUUUUUGUUAAUUGUUCCAAUAUCUGCCCUUGUAACUCGACAAAGACAAACAUCAAGACAAGAAAACAAGAGGCCCACAGGCCACACCUUAACAUUAUGCAUCCUCCCGGAACCAAGUACUUCCAUUUCUAUACUACUACAUCUUUUUAACCUAAUAUGAUAUAUUUGUUAAUUAAUUGAUUGCUUUUACCUUGAGUGGACGGCACUGAAGAGUUUCCGUUGGAAGUACGAGCAGCUGCAGGCCAAGAUAGGUAAGAGUUGACUAUAGACUCAGAGUUUGAUACCUGCAACAAAUUGUUACGCAAAUUAAGAAGAUAUAAAAACUGUCAAUUGUACUUAUUGUACAUCUAGCAACAAGAGCGUUUACUGAAUUAACAAGAGUUGACUAUGUACUUAUUGUUCAUAUGUCGGCUGAUAUCAACCUGACUAACAAUGCGUCAAACAUUAGCAAUCAAAUGCCCUAUUAUAAACAUGACCUUAAGAAUAAAAUUCACAGAUUAUAAAUGAGUUUAUGAACCUGAAAAAGUUUGCAACCCUAGUUCCCAAUAACAGAUAGAAACCGACAAAACACAUAUGAUUAGCAGUUGGAGAAUUGUUCUACUAACCAAAAAUUACACUGUUGUUUCUUACACUCAUACUGCAACUUCAGUUACAACUUACAAUAGUAAACAUGUUUGCUGUUUCUUCAAAGCAUCUUUAGUGAGGAGUUUAACAAAUGUAUUUUAAAAGAAAAAGAACCUUUUGUCGCUUUUUUAUUAUCUUCAUAAUGAUGAUCAAAGGGAGAGACUUGAAUUAAAUCACCAAAAGCUAGCAUUUGAAUGCAAUAAAUUAUAGACAUGACUCAGAGAAGAAAAAGAAUGUAAAGAUCAAAAUCAUUCAAUGAACCUGACAAACUCUUGCAAUCCUUAGUUUACUGUAACAAAUAGAAACUGAAAAGCUUAUUAUAUAGCAUUUGACAAAUUCUAAAGUAGCCAAGAAUCACACUGUUUCAGCACAAAGUCAACAAAUUAACUGAUUUUGGAGAUUACAACGAGACAAGUGGUACCCAAAUAAAAUAGAAACAGAUGCAUCUGUAUGAUUAUUCUAAUUCUAAAAGCAAGCACCUGCAGUAGUUAGAAAUAAGACAUACAUUUUCCAGUAGUUUCAGAAUAUAUUCUUUCUCCUUGUGCAACUGCUGCACCUCGCAACGAAGAUAAUCAUGUUUCAACAGAAGUAGCCACUUCUCUGCAGAUAUCUUCACACUCUUAGAAUCAGAUCUUUGAACUUCCAAAGCAGGAAAAGAUUCAAGUGAAGCCUGUAUAGAAAAGUAAGCACAUGUUACCAGUAAAGUAUUAUAAACCUAACUGUAAGAAGAAGUACUUCUCUAAAUAUGCAUACAUAUUCCAGCAGCUUGUUAAGAUACUUCUUCUCUCUCAGCAACUCCUGCACCAUACCAUGAAGGGAAUGAUUUUCUAAAAGCAGCAGUCUCCCAAUUGCAGCCAUCUGCUCAUUCAGCAAAUUAAACUCACAGGCGAUUUUUUUCUUUUUCUCAACAAUCCUGUAAAAGGUAGAGGGGCAAAAAGAGCUAGAAUAAAUCAUUUACUCCUUCCGGUCCUGAAAACUAUGAAAAAGAUCGAGAUUCGAGAACAGAAAAAGGGGGAGAACAGUAAAUUUGGAAAUUAAUUAAUGACAAAUCAAAUUAAUUUAAGCAUGAAAAGUGACCAAGUAGAAACAGUCAUCCAACAGUUUGACCUUAUUAAAAAGAUUUACAUGAACUUCGCAAAUUAUAGUUGAUAAACAAACUCAUAAAUCAUACCAAGCAAUGAUAGUCAUUCCUGAACCAAAAAAACUUUACCUAAACAGACUGAAUAACAUAUACAAAGCAAGGAUGGUCAUUGUUGAAACAAAAACCCUUACCUGCGGGUUUCAAACCAGACAUGGAUCUGCUGCGAGUCAAGGUUAGAAAGAACAGCAUUCUCACGAAUCAUUGCAAUCCUCAUAUCAUGACUUGGUUUCUGACACUCCACAAACAAUUGCUCAAGAACCGACACCUGAUCAGCUGAGUACUGCAUAACCUUGUCCCAAAUUUCUUGAAUCUCGCCAUUGCAUGUGCUAUAGUUCCCAAAACCAUGAUCUCCCUGCAUCUCCAUUUUGAACCUUAAACUCAAAUUUACAGCUACGGAAUGGGUGGAUAUCUAGAGGUAAAGCUUAAAACUGAAGUAGUAAAUUAUAAACCAACUGCUGGUUUAUAUGAAACUGCCUGGUCCUUGUGGAUUUCGCUGCUGGUUUUAUUAAAGGGGAACGUGUAACGAUAAGAUCAAGAUUAAUUUAGUAAAAAGAUUGCUGAAACGGUUGGGAGUUGGGUAUGUUACAAUUUGUAACAGUCACAUUUUGUUGUUUUUUGUGGGAUUGCUAAGCAUCAGUAAAUUGAUUUUGUCUUUUGCUUGUGCCACCACUAAAAAUAACAAUACAAGGACACCUAUAUUCGACCCCAUCAUCUUCUUGCAGACAGCUGUCAAAACCAUGAACAAAGAGUAAACUAGACUAGAAACACUUCAAUUUCCAUACAACUUCUAUCAAAUUUUCUUUAACACAACCUUGGCAGCUAGAAAUAAAACCCAGGUUUAAUCAUGCUUCUAGUAAUUAAGAAGGAAAAAUGUAGAAACACACACAGUUUCCACCGCCUGUCCAGGGUUGAGCCCUGCGGACUUAAACACACAUAAUCAAAACAAAACCCCAAACACUAUUGUUGUGUUGUGUGUUUGUUGUUUGGUUGAAGUAAAUGAAAUGAAAUUUGUACUAUUAAAUGUGUAAACCUAGCCAAAUGGAGCAUACAUGAAGGAAUCAUUCAUGAUUGUCAGUCAUUAAUCCAUUCUAUUCUUAGCAAAUUAAACUAGAGUUCAAACCUACCAAUUGAAGAAGUGACCUUACUUCUACAUCCUAUUCUUUUCUCCACAGUUCUCUUCAUAAAUUUUGAACCCUUAAUUUUUUUCCACUCUUCCCAUCUACCUUUAUUUUCAUCCUUGAAUUUUGUCCAUGAUUUCAUUCCAUUCCAUUUCCCCCAACCAAACAAAGUAUAUAUUUUUUGCUUCACUGCAUACUGCAGUACAGCUAAAAGUGGUUGUAUUGUUUAGCAAAGGCAACUAAUAAGGAACAAGAUAAACUGAACAUAUAGUCGAGCCAAAUACUCCUUUAACUUAUUAUUAAUUGAAGGAGAUUUGGUCCGUAAUAUGAUCACCGCUGACAAAUUCAAAUAAUAAGUCCAUGCCUAUAGUUUUAAUAAUCCGAAGUUUAUCUAAAGUAUUUGCUUUUUUACUUCUUUGCAAUGUGAUUUCUUCAUACAAAAUAUAAAAACCUGUUAAGCGACCAUAUCAACUAAAACCUCAAGGUGCCAGGAAAAGGCCUUUUAUUAUGUUCUAAAAUUCCCGUCACCGUCAUUUUUGGGUUGAAGAGUGGAUCACAUUCGCCCAUCUUCCAAGCCAUAACUUUGUUUUCAUGUACAUGAUAAAUUAUGAGUUGUGAUACUAUUUUUAAGCGACAAGUUGACUUCAAACCCUAGGGAAAAACUUUUUUUACCUGGAUCAUCGUAUUCUAACAAAUCAAAUGAUAAUUAUAACAAAAUUGUGUGCAGGAAAAUCACCAGUAACAAUUACCAAUUUAUUCUUCGCGAAAGAGCAAUCUGUAAGGACUGCUUCAAGAAGCAUAAUUCUCAGAGCCUCAUAAUUUCUUGGAAAUCAAGAUCAUACCAGGCUGAUCGUUGUUAUGAAGCUACAAAGGAUGAGAGAGCAUACGAGGGAGAUGAUAGAGACAUUCAAGAUCGAGUACAGAUAUUGAUAAACACAGAUUCACAGCGACCGAAGAACACAGCAAUCAAUUGCGACACAAACAGAGAUCAAGAUCGAGGGAUCACAAACUCAAAUACACAAUUGAAACACAGAUCAAAAGCAAAACGAUCACGAAUCCACAAUCCAUUUUUUAACUGCUUGCAAAAUUAAGAUGAUCAGAAUUAAGAUAAUUGAUUAUUAUUUAAAUUCCAUUUUUUAAGUGCUUGCAAAAUUAGUCGUAAAAAACGGAAAUCAGACUUAACAAAGAUUAAUCUGAAGAUUAAUUGAAUUGAAUUGAUCAGGAAUUAAUCGGAUUAAUCGAAGAUUUAAUCAAUUUAGCAAGUUGCAGAACAAAAAUUUGAUUAAUUACUGAUUUUUAGAACAUAGAUUUUAACGAUAUAUUCUUGAUCAAUUAAAUCUUUGGUACCCUUCAACAUCCGUACUCUCAAAAUUUCCAGUUUCCUUUCUUCAGAAGAGGCGAAAAGAUAGGUUGUGGACUUGGAGAGAGUUUUUUACUUUGGAAUUUUUACAAAGGAUAACGGUCCACAGCAAUCGAUUGCUGUGGAGGAGUUAAUAACACUCAGUUUCUGGGCCGUUGGAUGCAUAUCCAGCGGCCAAGAUCAUAUUAAAAUUUUAAUAUGUCCAGCGUUUUUUUAGCGCUGGUCGGGGAUUAUCAUGUUCCGCUGUACAUGGGAAUCCCCGUCCAGCGCUAAAAAAGCGCUGGACAUAUUAAAAUUUUAAUAUGAUCCUGGCCGCUGGAUAUGCAUCCAACGGCUCAAAAACUGUGAGUUUUUUAACCAGUGCCUGGCAGUGGACAUAUUAAAAUUUUAAUAUGAUCCUGGCCGCUGGAUAUGCAUACAACGGCUCAAAAACUGUGAGUUUUUUAACCAGUACCUGGCAUACGACUGCCAGGCACCUGGACCCCUUUACAAAUAGAAACAAUAGGGGUUUUUGUUUCCAACUGCUAGGCACCUGGACCCUUUUACAAAUAGAAACAAUGGGGGUCUUUGUUUCCAAGAAGCAGCUUAGAAGCUGGUUAUGACUUCUGUUUUUCUUGUCUCGUUUGUGUAAAUAAGCAUAAGCACUUCUAAAAAGCUGAUAAUGCUAACUUAUAUGUAAGAGUUUCUACUUCUUUUCCAAACACUUUAUUAACUUAUUUUCUCUCCCCUCGUAUCCACCUUUUUAAUUUUUUUUGAGAGAGAGUCAUUUUUUUUAGUUUUACGGAACGGCCCAAAUACCUCAUGGCGUCACGUCACCAGUCUAAUUUAAAUUUUCUGGACUAAAUACUAAACAAAAGGCCCACUUACUUUACGUUUAUUGAACUGGGCUAGAAUCCGCGUCCAAAAUAUUAUAAACCCAAUUUUCAUUUACCAUAUGGAUAAAAUAUAGAAAUUCUAUUUCUACCAUUGACCUGUGGUGUGAUCAUCUUGCAAUUUCACUCUCCCGAACAAGAAGCCUUCGAGUGUUGAAAAGCACAAAAAGGUUCGUCUUUCAUCAUAUUUUCAUCCAGUUUUCAAUGUACUUAUUCGAUAGAAGAAGCCUUUAUUUGUAUAUAUACGAGUAUCUAUAUCUGUGCAAAUUUAUAUGAUUAUUUGGAUAAUUAUGAGAUUUUAAUUCAUAGUGAUUUCCAUUAACGAUCCAAAGCUUUAUAUGAUUAUUUGGAUAAUUAUAAGUUUUUAAUUCAUAGUGAUGUCCAUUAACGAUCCAAAUGACACCUAGAUUGCCUGAUCACAACUACAAUUUGUAAUGUAAUGCGGAAUUUAUUUGUAAUGUAUAUGAGUUUCUUUUAGGCUAUUUGGUUCUUGUGAUUCUUGAUUUACUCGGCAUUUAGGAUCCUCGCUGCAGAUCUUGAUUCAGGAUUGGAUUUAAUAGGGGUAAUGAUUAAGAAUAUCGUAGUUGUAGUUGGUGUUUAGUUGAAUUUGCUGGAGUAUCGAGAUAUUUGCCAAUAAAAUUUGCAUACGACCGAGAGAAGGUAAUUAAGUAUCUUGACAUGAAGAAAGUUUGCCUACUCUCUUAGAGCUAAUGCACCAAUGAUAACAAAUAGUUAAUGCGGUAGAUGGAUUAACGGAGUAUGAUAAUGCAACAGUUUUUAAUUGGUCUAUCAAUUCGUUAGCCACUCCAUUAAAAAUUGAUGGAUUGAUGAACCAAUUAAUGACCACUGCGUAGACAAAAGCCCAUCAAUUCAUUGAUUCGGGGGACGGAUUACCUAUUUUGAUUUGUAAACGCUAUAUGAAAAAUAGCAAAAUAACUGAUUUUUCUUUCAUAGUAACAAACUACAUCAAGUAAACUAAUGAAAUAGGGGAUUGACGGGGUUUAAAUGGUGGGGAUGCUCCCUUUGGUUAAUUUUUUGGAUGAAGGAGUAGUCAACUAAGUGGAUGCAAUACUUGGUAGAGUAUCUACAUUCCAACUUUAGUAUGGAAAAAAAUGAUUCCAGGCGCUGCUUCAAAUUUCAAUGCUGAGGAAUACAUCAAUUUGUGUAUUGUUUUUCAUGCUAUGCUCGUGUUUGUGUAAUACUCCCUCCGUCCCACCAGGUUCUUUACGUUACUUUUUGGCACGCAUUUUAAUGCUCUUAUAAAGUAUACUAACAUUAUAUAUUUAUUUUAAAAAAAAAUCUCGAAAAAAAGUUUGACAUUUAAACUUUUAUUCAAAAAAAGAAAAACUUAAAAAUACGUUAUAGAACUAUAUUUUACGAGAGCCUCAAAAUGCGUGCAAACAGUGCACGUAAGCAUCCUGGUGGGACGGAGGGAGUAUGUAUUUUUGCAGUAUACGUCAUCAAAAUAUUUUAUCUGAUUGAUGGUGAACUUUUCUAAUCAGCUGACACUGGACUUGUUUUACCUUGCAGAUGUUUAAUGAUCAAGACUUGGGGUUUUUCGCCAAUUUUCUUGGCAUAUUUAUAUUUGUUUCGGUAAUUGCAUACCAUUUCGUGAUGGCUGAGCCAAAGUAUGAGGGCAACUAAGGAGUUGGUUGUCGAUAUGGAUGGAUUGAGAUGUCUUAAUAAUCUCUUAUCCGAAAGUAGAACAUGUUUAUUAUUUUUGUUGACUCGGACGUAAUGAUAGAGAAUGGGAACAUUUGUUAAGAACUUCCAAGUCUGAUGUUUGGUACCUAUUACCUAGUAUAUUAUUUAAUCCUUUUUAUCUUAAGUUUAAGGAGCUAGUUUUCAGAAGAACUUAUACUUCAUUAUAUGACAUGAAUACUAGGUGUCUUGCAUUUGUGUUUUCCUAUAGUCAAUAAUUUCUCUUCAAAAUAUCGCUUUGUUACAAAUAGCAUGUUGGCUUUAUGGUUGAUGUCUUGAUGUUAUCAGUUAGUUGCUACUCAGUUUUUGUGCUUUUGAUUUUUUAUGAUAGUAGCAGCCAUCUCUCUGUGACCAAGUAUUCAGCUGAAACUAGCCUUGUACUUGGAGCCAAGAUUUAUAGGAGUUGACAUUGAAUCUGAUCGUCAAAACAAUAUAUAUGCAAGUAUCUUUGCAAGUCCUAUUGUAAUAUCACUGCCAAAAAGAACUUGUGAAUACAGCUUAGGUCAUGAACAGCUCACUCUUUGGCUCUGUGGGAUAAAUUACCAUUACCAUCACUUUUGGAAUUUGUCUGUGGCUCUGUGCAGCUGAUUUAGGUGUUUUCUUGGUCCUAUUCUGUGUAUCAAUUAGUUUUAUCUUGGAUAGUAUCUCUCGUCCAUAGCUUUAACUCAUAAGCUAUUAGCUGUUGCCUGUUUCCUACUUUUUUCCUUGUAGUUUGUUGUUUUGGAGGAGUCGGAAACCUACCUUUAUCACGAGGAAGAGGAGCUAGGAUGAGGUUUUGCCUUUAGGUGACUGUUCCCAGCUCGGUUUUUUAGGAAGGAAUAUAGUUAAUGUAACACAAGUUAGUUUUGCCCAAAUUGAGCCAUUAAACAGCACUAUAAGUUCCCCAGUUAUCACAUUCACAACAUGUUUUAGCUUUUCAUUAUUUAGACCUUGAUUAUAUCAGUAGUUCUGUACUAAGAAUAAUUGCAAGAAACAAAUAUCAGAAUUUAUAUAUAGGAUAAGAGAUCAUAGUUGAGUUAUAAAACCAAAACAUCAUCAGGAUAGUAAAGUUAUAAAACCAAAACAUCAUCAGGAUAGUAAAGUUAUAAAACCAAAACAUCAUCGGGUAGAUACGGAGACAACCCAGGUCCAGGUUUACAUCAUCUCCUGUGAGCGUCUGACACAACGGGCAACUCUCUUCUUGAAAUCAGCCCUUCGUUCCCUCCAUUCAAUAGCAGCUUCCACAUUGGCCGGAGAUUCAUCAUUAGGGCUCGACAACAAUGAUAUAAUACUCAAGAGUAUGCUCUCCACUGUAUGUACAGGGUUCCAGCGCUCGGUGGCAGACUCAUAGCCAAGAGGAUCAUCCCCGGGUGAGUGAAGUAUCGAGAUGCAAACUUUUCCAUCCUCGUAAAUAUUGGGAUGCCAUAUCUCUGAAGUAAACCUCACAGUCGGAGGGUUGCAGGGGUAAUCUUCUGGGAACGUCAUAACAGCAUUGAAGAAACCUUCUUGAUAUAAUGUACCCGGUGGCCCCAUAAUCGUGACACUCCAUUCGAAGAUGUUUGUUUCAUCUAUUAAGCCAGCAGAGAAUCCGUCUACCGGGUUUCUGCAGAGAUCUUUCAGCUGUUUCUGGAGAAGAAGGUUUGCCUGUGAUGACGAAGCUGUGUUAUUUUCUUUUGAUGAAGCCAUGUUGAUGAUGAUUCUCUCUGAGAAAACUUGAAAAACUUUAACAAUGAACUAUUCUACGGGAGUUUAUAUAGAGAAAGAUGUAACCUAAAUUAAAUUGGAUAUUAGCAAAGAUUGAUACAGAAUUCGAAUGGGAACAGAAUCACCAAAGGAUAAAACUCUGAGGAAACUGUAUAGAUACGUUUCUGAAUUUCCCCAUUAGGUAGGAAUCUUACUUCAUUAACAAUACAAAAUAAAAACCAAUUCAGUGUCUGAAUAAUGGUUGGCUUCAUUAGUCAAUACUCCAUUACCACGGAACAAAAACAAUGUUUGACCGACUUUCAAGAAAUUGGUUUUGCACAGAUAAUAUAUAAUGAAGUUCGUGACAAUAUCUAUAUUUUCAAACUUAUUUUUUGAAAUAUGGUUGAAUUUGUAAUUGAGUUUGUAACGUAAUUGAUUUACCGUUGAUUUUCAGAUUAUUACGUUGGAGAUUGAAUUUUUAGAUUGUAAUAUAAUUGAUUUUCAGAUUAGUAUGUUGGAGGUUGCAAACGAGAUUGGAUCUUAUUUUUAAAAAUAAUUUUUAUAAUUCAAAUAUUUUUGGAAAAAAACCACCGAUAUGUUUCUCCCCGUGGCAAACACUUCCAAAUUUUUGGUAUUGAGGUAUUCCGUACCCAUGCUUUUAGAACAACUAGUUGAGAAUCCGCGCGUUGCAGCAGCCUAUAAAAAUUAUAUUAAUGAUUCAAUAUUAAUAUUUGUAUCAUAAAAUAAUUUUGUGAUUGUCUAUAAAAAUUAUAUUAACAUUUCAAAAUUAAUAUCUUGUAGGAUAAAAUAAANUUUAGAACAACUAGUUGAGAAUCCGCGCGUUGCAGCAGCCUAUAAAAAUUAUAUUAAUGAUUCAAUAUUAAUAUUUGUAUCAUAAAAUAAUUUUGUGAUUGUCUAUAAAAAUUAUAUUAACAUUUCAAAAUUAAUAUCUUGUAGGAUAAAAUAAAUUUAUACAUGUAAUCUAAUUCAUGGUGAAAAAAUAAAAAUAAAUUUAUACAUGUAAUCAACAACUAUGGUGAAAAAAUGAAAAUAAAUUUAUACAUGUAAUUAACAAUUUAAAACACCGACGAAUUUUAAUUUUAUUUGUGUUUUUUUAAAGUAAUUAUGUUCAUACAUUGUCACCUUCCGCCAAUUUUUUUGGCUUGAUUGUGCACAAAAACAUCUAAUUUAAAUCCGUGAGGUUGUGGUAUUGAGAGAUAGGAGGUUGUGUUUAGAUGACCCAAAACCUUACGAUCUAUAGGGGUAUUUAUAAGUACAGAGAGACUUGUGUGCUACCCUUUCCCAUAAUUAAAUAAUCUGAAACAAAAUUAGAUUAUAACUUUCAAACUACUAUAUUCCGUAAAUAAUCUGAAACUUACUUCUAAUAUACCCGAAACUAAAAAAUGUAAUUCUAAUUUUUGAUAUUUUUCAUCCAAAAAUUUCAAAAAAUUAGAAAAAUAGAAUGGAGCGAUGUGAGAGGCGCCACCUACACGCCCCUCGCUUCUCCACCAUAUUUUUCUGUAUACAAAGUAAAUCAUAUAAAAAUUAACAACAACAAACAUGUCCGAUGAACAAACAAAUAUUAUAAAAAAAUAACCAACAAACAUACAUCACUAAUAGUUAAUUUAUGGAUAUCAUCCAUCAAUAUCAUGUCAAGACUAUAUUCUUUCCCAUGUUUGAAUUUGUCGACUCCCACAUAGCGAUUUAUAACUACCAUUGCUUGUAACAACCUUUAUUUUUUUUAAUAUUAUAUAAACAGCCUUCACUUAUCGUUGCAGAAGAACGGCACCACCGAGUUAGAAAUCAAGCAAGAGAAGUUGUGGUAUUGAGAGAGAAGAGGUUGUGUUUAGAUGAUCCAAAACCCUACAAUCUAUAAGGGUAUUUAUAGGUGCAGAGAGACUUGUGUGUUACUCUUUACCAUAAUUAAAUAAUUCGAAACAAAAUCAGAUUAAAACUUUCAAAUACUAUAUUCCAUAAAUAAUCUGAAACAAAAUCAAAUUCUGAAACUUGCUUCUAAUAUACCCGAAACUAAAAAAGAUAGUUCUAAUAUUUGAUAUUUUUCAUCCAAAAAUUUCAGAUAAUUUGAAAAAUAGAACUGAGCGAUGUGAGAGACGCCACAUACACACCCCUCGCUUCUCCUUUAUAUAAGUAUAUUGAUUUUCACUUUUGGACAAUUUUUAUUUUAUUUCAAUUAUUUUUCUUAAAAAGUGCAUUAUGUUGCCAAACAUACUUACACAAACAUUUUUCAAGAAAUUAUUAUACAUAUUUAGAAACAAAUAACAUUCCACACAUUUUCUCCACGGAUAUUUAACCUUGCUCUUGUAGCUGAAAAAGAGAUUUAAACAGGAGAGGAGAAAUCACCAAAGCAAUUAACAUCACCAAUGUAAAAAAACAAAUAAAAGGACAGAAAAAAUGAAUAAAUAUGAAGAACAGACAGGCCAAGGUGAUGCAAUGAAGAACUUUCAAGAAAUAUUCUGAAAUGUGAAACAGUACACAGCGAGUUCACAUCAUCUCUUGAGACCGUCUCACACAUCGGCCGACUUUCUUCUUGAAAUCAUCUCUUCUUUCUCUCCAUUCUUUCUGUGUAGACAAUCAAUAUAAGACUCAGACUUAAACUCUUAUGAUCUAAAAACGGAAUUACACCCUCAGCAAAAGAUACCCUUGCAUUUUGACAGGAAAGUACAUUUGGUGAAAAAUUGUCUCCAUUAAAACACCAACCAACGACAGAAUUGACUUGCUUCUAUGUUAUAUAUAUUUGUUGAAAAGACCCCAAAAGAAGUAUAUGUUGGUCUUUACUUGGGAAAUCUUUAUAAAAAAAAUAAGGUAAAUAAAACUAACUCAUAAAAAAAUUUAAAAAAAAUUAGCAAAGAUAAGAAGACAUUACCGCAGCUUCCACAUUUGCUGGAGAUUCAUCAUUUGGACUUGAAAGCAUUGAUAUAAUACUUAGAACUAUACUCUCUACCUGCAAAGGAUAUCAACGUGAUAUUACAGGGUAAACAUAUAAAGUGAACAAGUAGAAGCUAAGAGUAAUCGAGAACCAAGAACGGCUUUAAUAACCAAGACAUAUAUAUCAUGUAUUAUUCAUGUAGGUGCUUGCAUAUACAUUUUUCGUGAAGCUGUUCCUAUUUGGGGUGUGAAUUUACAAUGUAGAGUUAGAUCCAUCACUCCCAUUUCCACAAAACAUAAUAAUGUAGGUACUGGCAGCCGCAGGACACCCAAGUAAGACUCCACUUGUUUUGCACAAACUAUAGUGUUUGUUUUAGUCCAAAGAUUGAUAUAUUUUCAGUUUGAAUAAAUUCCUAAACACAAUGUUAUAAUAUUAGGAGAAACUAAGUAACUAACUUUCACCCUUUAAUACUCAAAACAUAAUCUCUUGCUUGUUCAUUCUUAUCACAGCAAUAUAUAUUUUCCUGUGCAAGUUAAUCCCUAGGAAAACAGAAUCAACAUCAUAACUAAGUUACUGAUACAUCAACACAGCAACUGGAACUUCAAAACCUAUAAACCUCUAAACCGUUCUAUGUCUAAGGAAAAUGGGUUCUGUGAAAACCUCUAAAACUUGAUCAAUGUCCAAGGAAGCUGGGUUCUGUAAAAACGUCUAACUUAAUAGCCUCAGAUUUUGUAUUUUUGCAAGGUCGAUAACAAAAAUUCAAAUACUAACACACACAUUUGCUCCCAACGAGGUCGAACCCUAGACAUUUGUAACCAAGGGAGUAGGGAUAUCUAUUAGGCUAAUCCUCGCACAUAAUCUUUUAUUCCAAAACCAACUAAAGAUUGGAAUCGCCACUAUUCUACACUCAAAUAUUGGUUUUUCUUGGUCCCUCUAAUACCAAAUGUCGUCGAUAUAGAUAGGUUGCUAACUAGAACUUAGAUAGAGGGGAAUAAUUUAUUUCGCAAAAUUUGUAAUUUCUCUACCAACAUUUGGUAAAGCCAGUACAUCGUAAUAUUUGAUUUUUCUUGGUCCCUCCAUUACUAAAUGCUGAUUCAAUUAAAUAGAUUAUUACCUAUAGGAGCGCAGAAGAACAUAUAGCAUUGCAGUUCUAAAUAGUUUUUUCCACAUGAAAUUCGAGACAUUUAUUAUUCCAAAAGUGCAAAUUCAAACUGGUCUCUCCAUGCAUCUUAUACUGUAAUAGCAUUUAGCAAUGCCACCUAAACACUAACUAAUAGGUCAAUGUAGAAAGCCAGAACACGUAGACAAUGACUAGUUUGUUCAAUGCACAUGUAGCCCAAGGAUAUAAAAAACAUCAUAAUCACUUUUAACAUACUGUAUGGACUGGGGUCCAGCGCUCACUAGCAAGCUCAUAUCCGUUAGGAUCAUCACCCGGGGGAUGAAGUAUGGAGAUGCAAACCUUCCCAUCAGAGUAAACUGCAAUUUAUGUAACAGAAUUUUAACAAAAAAAUUUACUAUAGAUAAAAGCUUACAUAUUAUGUAAGAACUGCACAAAGAAGAUACGAACCAUUGGGGUGCCAUACUUCUGAGGUAAACCUCACAGUAGGAGGGCUGUUUGGAUAAUUCUGUGGGAACGUCAUAAUAGCAUUAAAGAAGCCUCCAUCACUGCACAGAUAAAUAUGUUUAAAAUAUUAUUUAUCACAAGUAAUAUUCAAGAGACACUUAUCAAUUCAAACCAAUAACUACCAACAAAACAAGCUGAAUUUGCUUUAAAAAACAAUCUUCAAAAGAGGUAACAACAUUUCAAAGUUAAUGCUAAACAUACAUGAAACUGUUAAUACCAAUGUAAGAAAAUCCCUAGCUUAACCAAUGUAGAAUAACUAUCUGCCACAAACUAAUUACAAGAACACAUAAUACUUGAACAAUAUGAAAUCCACAUCUACACCAUUCCCAAAACUAACAAAUUUCUACUUAGAACUAAGCAAUGAAUUAUCACAAGUGAAAGCCAAUUAAUACAAAAUAAAAUCAAAGAAUAGUAAGACCUCAAUUCAAUCACCCAUAAAAACAAAAACUUCACAAAACAAUCAAAUUCCAACUUCACUACACACAAACACCAAAAACAAAUAACAAAAAACUCACUAUAAAGUAUCUGGUGGCCCAAUAAUUGUCACACUCCACUCAAAAAGAUUACUUUCAUCAACCAAGCCAGCUGAAAACCCAUCCACCGGAUUCUUACAAAGAUCUGAAAUUGAAAAUCAAGAAACCAUAUAUAAAAAAUCAAGAAAACCCAUAAAAAUUCAAUAAAUCAAGAAAUAAAGUGGUGGGGUUUAGUGCAAAAUAAAGAGGUACCCUUGAGUUGCUUUUGCAAAAGGAGGCUUGCUUGUGAUGGUGAAGCCAUGGGGUCGAGUUACAGAAACUGUUGCUGUAUGUAUAUGCGUAAGUAUAUAUGUUGAGAUUGCAAAGAAGAUUGUGGGUUUUUAUGGUGUUUUUAUAUGGUCUGAUAAAGAGUUAAAUCGACGUAACACAGUUAAACAAGUUCACAUUGGAACAAAUGAUUAAACAAGUUUUCUUUUAACUUGCGUACUGGUUCACUGGAUUCAUGAAUAUAGUGUCUAAAAGCAUAAAAGCACGUGCGAGGCACCGGCCUCUAGUUUUUAUUAUGUUUUAAAUAAUUUUCAUGUGUCAUCAUAUUGUUCUCUUACGGGCUUUGAGUUUGUAUUAUGUUUUAAAUAAUAUUCGUGUGCCAUCAUAUUGUUUCGAGCGUAACUAUUACAUUUUAUUUUUUGACAAAAUAUGUAAAUAUGAAAAAUGUAAUAUUUGCAACCUAAUAGCAUUAAUAGUAAUAAUAAGUACUAUUCCCUCUGUCCCAAUUUAUAUGACCCUUAUUCCUUUUUAGGAUAUCUCUAAAAUAAUGAACUUAUUGUACUUACUAUUUUUAAACACUACUUUUCACUAUUACACCAAAUACUUCUCUAUUUUAUACUUUUUUUUAUUUAAUAAACACUAUUACACUCACGACUUACCUCCACUAUCUCAAAUCUAUUAUUAAAUUUUGAUAUGUUCCACCACUUUACCCACUUUCCAACUAAAUUUACUCUUUUUUUUAUUACCUUUUUCUUAAUCUCCGUGAAAGUUAAAUAAUGUCACUUAAAAUGAGAUGAAGGGAGUAUAUUUUUUUAAAAAAAUAUGGAUCAAAAACUACAUUUGAACUGAUAUUUCUAUAUUCGAAUUCGUUAGGAUAUAGAGACCAUUAUCAAAUUAUAUAUGAUCAAAAUUAUAUUCGAAAUUAAUACUGAAACUUUUGUAUUUUAAAUAUAUUAUACCUCAUUAAAAGUAUCUGUAAUUUAUUGUUGAAAUUAUUAAAUUAUUUCAACUAAUAUACCAUGAUUUUGAUGAAAACCUGUUCUUCAUAUGUGAAUUAAGAUAACCUAAAUCAUGAUUAAAUGAAGAUGUGUGGUUCGCGUUGCCUUACAUUUAUUUCUUCUUCUUUGAGAGCACGUUUGCAUAAUUGUUAAAGUGAUACAUGAUGGAGCAAAUCAUCAACACAUUCUUUUUAGUAUAUGUUGCACACAUCUUGUAUAAAUAGAAAUUAUAACAUAUGUUGUAUGUAAAAAGACAUAUACCUUAUUUUAUUAUAAAAGUAUCAAUUGAACUACUAACCGUGUAAUUGCACCCGAAAAAUUUCCGACACAUUUGACGUGUCUUAUCCUUUUAUUUUUAUGUUGACUUUUGAUUAACAAUAUAGAAUUUCUUUAAAUUCACCUUCAUAUCACAAGUUAAAGUAUUUCAUAUACAUAUAUCAUCAAAAUGACAUCGUUUAGAUAUAUUUUCUGACAUAAAAUUUGAAAUAUUGUCACUAUUCUUAUAUCUAUAAUUUUUUUUAAAAAGAUUUACACAUCAAAUUCUGAAUUCAUAGUUUUAAAUAAAAAAAAUAUUCUAAAUAGGAAUAUUCUUUCAGUUAUCUUAUUUCGUGUUCUCCAAGAUAUUGUAAUCUAUUUAUGAAUCGUCUUUUAUAAUAAAAGAAAUUAAUAUGACAUAGUCCAUUUCGAAAGCCUAUCAAUUUUCCUUUCAAAGAUGCUCGCUUAAAUCUCAGUUUUUGUGCUUAUUUCUCACAUUCAUGACUUAAAAUUUCUAUAAUAUUGUAUCGGUGCUCGUUUAAACUAUUAAGUUAGAUUUGAAUUCGUUCAUUUUUAUUCAAAUAUGAAUUAUAUCUAUUUUUAGAAACCUGAAUCAUGACUCGAACCCGAUUAUUCAUAUUCUUUUUCAAUUUUAAAUUUAUUUACAUAAAUAAUUAAUUUAUAGAUAUUAAUCUAUCAUGUAAACAAUAUACGAGACUUGACUGAAAUAAUAACUUAUCUCAAAUAAAUAAGAUACGGAAACGAAUAUAAAUACAAAAGUUUUAAAAUAUGUGGUUAAUGCUUUUGAAUAACAAGCUAAUUGUUUGUGUAGUUCAAGUGGUUUGAGUGAUGUAUUUGUAUCGGAGAGGUCCUGAGUUCGAGUCUUAUGAAUAACAUCUUUUUUAUAUAUAUGAGAAGAGGUUAGGUUCGGAGUUAGGCUCAGGUUCGGAGGUAAGUAAUUUAUUUGCUCAGGAGGGAGGCUUGUCACGAACGUGUUGGGCUAUUAUAUAUAUAAGUAGAAAGUAGAUAUAUUUUUUUAUUGUUGUGUACUAUUAUUGACUUGAAUCGUUCAUUGCUGUAUUUGUUUUUUUUUUUUUGAAUAAUUGUAUUUGUUUUUUAUUAAUCACCUUAUAAAAAUUCAAUAUAAAUAUUUACAUUAUGUAGAAUUCGAAAAUUACAAAUACAAUAUUAAAAAUUAUAAAUACAUUAUUUGAACCUAGAUGGCUAGAUAAAGUAAUAAGAAAGUUAAUUAAAAAUAUAUUCUAACAGAUUAAUAAACUUGGAGGAUAAACAAGAACCAGAAUUCAAGAAUUUGGAAUCAUCGAACAUAAAUAUUUACCACUACAUUUUCAAAUUUAAAAAAAAUUAAUUUGAUAACAAACGGUAUCAAUUCUACCACAAGUGGACUCAAUAUCAAAUCCUUGCGUUUGUUGUGUGUAUACUUUUUCUUAACCUUCAGAAUCUUUGUUACAAUCCAUUUUUGACAUUUUGCAUUUUGCUUGCAUCCUUAAUCCUUCGUGUUGUCUUGUAGUUUAGUUUUUUCACAUUAUACUUUUCAUCAGUGUAGUAUAGUAUAGCCAACAGAAGGUUAUAUGGGUUCCACAUGUAAAAGGGAAAAAUGCAGGGACAUUGUUGACAACAGUCAAUAGUCCGGUGGUAGUACUGAGAAUAUCCCGAAACUUUACUUAACAUAGCUUUAAAGGAGAAAUUGCUCAUCAUAGCAGUACUCUGUCCAAUGCUUAGAGUCUUCUGAAACACAUAUAGGUGAUGCAUAUAUGCAUAUUCAAGUCCAGUUAUGCCAGAUUUAACAUAAAAAUUCAGUUCGGCAGAUAUUUACACAAAAAUGUCAUAUGAUGACAGGCUGCAGAUAUAAUAUAAUAUUCCUCCUUUUUUAAGAGGCAUUAUACCAACGUAUGAGCCAAGAAGUUAAUAGUUCUACCUAACCUAGAGCGUAAGAAUGAGGCCAAUAGGACAAUGAUCACUACCACCAACAUCUGGGAGAAUAUACGAGUCAUAAACCUUGUCGGAGAUGGACUCUGAAACAAGGAAGUAAUCCAAGCGCCAUCCUGUUUCACAAUACAAGAAUUAAUAAAGAAUAGUAAACAGAAAGGGUUUAAUCAGGGAACACUCAAAGUGCAGCGAAGUUUAGUACACAUUUCUGCUAUACUAGGGAGUGAUGAGCAAGUAAUGUUACUUAACAUCUCAUCCUGUAUAGGGUUGAUACAUAAAGACGUUGCUUCAUUUUUCACACGAGCCUAGACUGAUGGUUCACGGUUCUGCUAUACUAGGGAGUAAUAAGCAAGUAAUGUUACUUAACAUCUCAUCCUGUAUAGGGUUGUUACAUAAAGAUGUUGCUUCAUUUUUCAAAUGAGCCUAGACUGAUAUAACCAUCGGUCAUGUUUCAAAGAACCAUUGACCGAUUUUAAUUUCAGCAAAGUUCAUGACAUACUAAGUGCAGCUUGGCAAUCAACUCAGAAAUAUAAGGUUAUCUACUAACAACAAAGAUAAAUUUAACAUAAUCAAUUCACAUAAAGUUAUUAUAACGUAAAAGCCAAAUUGACAGGGCAGAAUACAUGUUUAAAUAAUCAACAGGAUUUGGUCCAAUACUUGCGUCUUUCCUAUUUCAAAAAGUCGCUGCUCAGGUAUUGUUACAGAAAUGCAGUUUGCAGGUAAAUUAUCAUUUUAACAACCAAUGUGUGGGUUUGUGAAGAAAUUGACUAGAAUAAAAUACUAUUAAACAAUACCUUUAUUUGUCUUGCGUGCAUUAUGCCUGUAAUUCCAGUAAGUAUAGCCAACAACACCAGGAUGCUGAUUCCUAAACGUGUCAACGAAGCCAUUUUUUAAGUAGUUUGUCUCGAAUGACUGCCUUUCUUCAAUCGUAAAACCAGCACUUCUCUUAUUUCCCUGCAUAGCAGAAUAGAUGAGAAUAGAUGAUAGGUUAACAAGUUUAUUAGCCAACCACUGGUGUUACCAAAAAUAGUCGUGAAAACACAAAAACAAAUCUUACCAAUGUUUUUUAAAAAGAAUUACAAAUUUGAGAGAUUGCAUCAACUUUUUAUUAAGAAGAAUAUUGAUUGGAGGUCACAUGCAUCUCUCAUAUUUUAAAUGCCAGUAAUCGAUUUAGUACAUGCAUCGUACCACUUGAGUUUUACAAUGAGUAUUUGGUGCGCGGGAAAGAACCCUGAUUUUCGUCUGGAACUUAUUAAUUAUUGGAUGUGAAUAUUUGAAGCUCUGAAUAUCAGAUAUGGCCUUCUAGGCCACUAGGAUUUGCAUGAACAUGAUUAGGUGAUAUGCAUCUUAUCACCAGAGUAGGUAAUAGCUGCCUUUUCGUAUAUAGAUGAACAGUAUUAUAUAUGCUGAACUUACUGCAGGAUUAUAAAUAUCGAUUUCUUCAUGCGCACAAUUCAAAUCUCCCGUUAAAAUAACAGGCUUCAUCUUCUCUAGCUCCUGUACAAGGCAAGGAAGGCCGUCAACACAACAUCAAAUCAAUUGAAUAACAGUAGUAAUCAAUUUUCUAAUUUAGAAGCACAUGAGAUAUAAGCCAAUAUUGAAUCCUCCUUCUAAAUCACAUAUUUUAGACAGAAUUUGAAGACGAAUAGUAAAAAAGAAAAAACAGGAGGAUAAGAACAGAGGAAUAAAAAUCCAGAUUUAUGUUUACUAAAUUAGUUUUAGGUUUUGCACAAUAUGGCCUUUGAACCUACAUCUGCACGUCAUUUUCAAACUGGAAGAACCAAGAGAAGAGGAAAACACAUAAUAGAAUACAAAAUGGAUUUUAAAAAAAUUAUAUGUAAGCUGUCACUAAACACAUGAUAGAAGAUUAAUUGGCCGUAACUCACCAAAUUAGCUAUCCGUCAUACAUAUGUACACUAUAUGUAAGUGUAACAUAUCUUCAAUGGGUGUGAGAGAGAAGCGAAAGAUGCAUGUGCAACUAUGCAGCAAUGUGAAACAUUCUAUAGCAAAAAGAAAAAAAAGACUUACUUUCAUGUAAUUGCUUAGAGAAGUAUCCCACUCAGUAACUCUGUAUGACUAGAAUUAAAAAAGUUUAUUAGCGCAGAUCAGUUUUUGUAAAAAAAAGUAUGACUAAACAUAAGGUAAAUUAGAUCUGGCUCCAAAUAUGAUGAAACAACAAGGAAUGAACCAAGUAAAUGAUUUACUAAUAUUUCCAUGCCACUUACCAGUCUUUUUAGACCAUCACCUGAAUUUGGAACAUAACUACAUAGCAAAUAGAAAGAAUCAAACUCUACUGUCACAAGACGCCCUUCACUAUCAUGAUCUGAUAUGCCAAGGCCAUAUCUCACUGAAAGUGGUUUUAUCUGCCAGAAACAUCAUAAUAGACAGUCACAUAUGAACAUAUAUAAAUAUUCAGAAACAACUUCUGACUGAAAUUUUACAUCAGAUAUGUAAAGCAAUUAUUAAGAUGCAAACUUGCUCAAUCAUGAUUAAGUUUAGACUGUAGUCCUUAUUCCUCGAUGCAAAAAAAUCAGUCAACUUUUUUGUUUAGUUAAUUACAACUUCCAUAGUACUCUUGGUCAAUGAUCAUAGUGACCAUAUACAUCAUACAUGUCUUCAGAGAGAUUAAUCACAAUUAAGGCUACAAGAUGACUAGCCGCCAACAUAACUAUCAUGAAACUAUUGAUCUAAGAUCAUUCAUUUGCUAACUGGAAAGAAAGAAACUUUACAUAAAGUUGUAAAUGAAAUAUAUAAAAGGAUGAGUAUUCAUAAAUGUCAAGAAUACAUUUUAAAUUUUAUUUCUCACACCAAGUGAAUAUAACCUGAUCCAUCAGCAGCUCUUAUGCCUAAGUGCCACGCAUAUAUGGUUGAAGUGUGUUUACUGUGUUCAAGUGCUUCUACCAUCUACUAUUUACUGCCUAACAAUGAACAGUUGUAAAACUCUCCUUCCCUAAGGUCCAGAAUUCACAAAAAAGUUCCAGUUUUCGCUGGUCAUAAAAUUAAAAAACAGAUAUAAAAGCUUCACUACUACCUUUGAACCAGUCAAUAGAAAAGAAAGUUAGAUAUGACCUAUUAUAACAAGUAAAUCAUAACAAGGUAAUCAUAACAGCUUAAACACAAGCUUCUCAUAAAAUGUCGUACCCUUGAGAUAAUUGCAGUACCAGAAUACCCAAGCUUGGAAACGCUACAUGUCCAAAAGCUAUCUUUAUAUCCUUCAAGAAGAGAGCAUUUGAUUGCCUCGACAUCUUUCUCCUGUUGUGAAAGGAAAUUUCUUAUUACUUUUUGUCUAUUACUGCAAACUGCAGAAUAUAGGUUGUGUUGCCACUGGAUGUGAUAAUAAAAUCCCAAUCACUGUCAUUUAUGCUACAUAGAAUAAAUGCAACUGCAAUGUCAAAUCUGUACUGGUUCAAACACAACUCACUAAGUAACUCAUAGCGUGUGACAUGCAUAUCUUAAUUCAUGUGUACUUUUCCGUAUUUAGCAAUGACUAGCUCCUUUUAUAUUAGUACGAAUAUCAGGACUGCUGUCAAGUGGUCAAGCAAUUAUGACCCACGUGUACACUGUCUACUGAUAAAAAAAAAUGACUUGAAAGGCAUUGAUACAGUAUCGAAUCAUUUAUUCUCCAUGUCAUGCCCAUUACAAAGAGGAGCUGUUGGAUUGGAGUUUAAGGUUUCUAAUAAAUGAUCAUAUUCAUAAGGUGCUCGCUCGCUCACUCUUAUAGUUAUUAGUUUAUCCUCAAUUAGAUCAAUACAUAGAUUAUUGUUAUUAGCAUCUAUUUGUGUCAUCCUUUAGCUCAGUAAUACAGUAAUUACUUCAAUGCUGUUCUGAGCCAAGCUUAUCCCUUCGAUGAUAAGAUACCCUGACCAACAACCUAUUAGCAAUUUAGCACUUAAGUCCCAGAAUGCAUGUUUAAGAUAAUCUAGUUCGAGACUACAGAAUUAGGAGAUACAUGCCUGUAAUUUAGUUUCUUGCAAGCACAACACAUCAAAGUCUUCCCUUUGUGCAAGUUGCAGUGCAGAAAAGCCUUCUAAUUUCAGUAAAGCUCGUAAGCCAUUGACAUUCCAAGACAUCAACUUAACAUGCUUUGUAUCAGCAGUAAGACGAGGCUUCCUCAUGGUCCGGGGAUUGUAAGGUAUCCACCCUUUUUGUGGCUUCUUGUGUGCAAGAACAGUCCAGGGUUCAAAUUGAUUCUCUAUAAGAUCAACCAUCUUAGAUUCUCCAUCCACUUCCGCUGGAACGUCUUCCUUUGCACAUAGAGCUUUACUAACUGAAGACAUAAUAAACAAUUAACAAACAUUUUAGUUGUCAUCAAAGGUGGUAGAAAAACACAAAGAAAUUUCCAAGUACAAAAUAACCUGUUGCCUUGUUAGAUCUUAUUGAUGUAACUUUAUCUUUAGCAACUCGCUUGGUUUUAGAUUCCGCAAUGGUUUCCUCAUCUGGUGCCUUAUUCACACCUUUCUUGGUCCGUUUCGCCACAGCAACCUUUGAAACAGUAGAACUGACGCUCUCGGCUUGUAUCUGAACAGACGAACUUUCAACCUUCCUUUUCAGAUUUUCCUUCGAAGAAUUUGAUUUCGGUUCCAUGUUUUUGCAGUCGUCUGCAAUUAGUGAAUUUUCAUCUCAACUAACAGAAGUUUCCAUACCACAAAAUGAAAGCAUAUAAAACCUCCAAGUCAUCAUCAGUGUCCACCACCCCAACCUUCUAAUAUUUUACACAUAUAUAGUAAUAACAACAAUAUUACACCAAUAUUCCGCGUUAAAAUUACAUUACCACCAGGAUUUGAGCUUAGAUAAGCCCUCAAAGCAUCCACCAGCUCAGUUUUACGCCCUUUCACCGGGACACCAACACUCCUGCAAUUAACAAAACUCAUUAAAAACACACAAAUCAUCAAAAACUCACUUACAAACAGAACAGCAAGCACAAACCUUAGCUUCUGUCUCAAUUGAACAACUGACAACCUAUCUAUACUAUCCGAAUCACUCUCAAAAUCAUUUUCAACAUUUCCAGCUUCAGACUCAUCAUCACUCUACAAACCAACAGCAUAUCACAAAAGUUAACUCAAACAAAACACAAUCUGCAAAGUCAUUAUCAAAAAAUUAAUUAACAAAUAAAUAAAACUAAUUAAUUAAUUACUUUGGCAAUAAUAGUAGGUUUAGAGGUAGCUUUAGAAGACGCCAUUGCUCUUGAGAACCCUAAACUGCUUUGGACCACUGCAAGACUGAAACGACGUCGGUUAACGAGAUAUGCACAAAAAUGGUGUAUAUGAUUUUAUGUCUGAGUGUAUUACCUUGGACGAAUUAGGAAAGUGCGGAAACCUAGUAUUGUGGGAGAUGGAAAUACAUGAUACAUUGAGAGGGGGACAGGAUAAAGAGACGGGGUGCGUAUGUUAAGGGAGGAGAGGAGGCGCAGGAUAGCAGCAUGACGAGGAGGAGCUAUGUUAGGGUUGUGAGAUAGGCGGCAAGGUUCGUCAGGUGUGGCAACGGUCAAGUCGGAGGACGUCGGGGAGGACGCGUAUUAGAGCAUCUCCAACGCAGGUCACCUGUUAGCUUUAAAAUCUACGUGUCAGUCUAUAUAUCUAAACCCUAAAAAAAACACAACUCCAAGGCAAUCAACAUUUCCAGCUUCAGACUCAUCAUCACUCUACAAACCAACAGCAUAUCACAAAAGUUAACUCAAACAAAACACAAUCUGCAAAGUCAUUAUCAAAAAAUUAAUUAACAAAUAAAUAAAACUAAUUAAUUAAUUACUUUGGCAAUAAUAGUAGGUUUAGAGGUAGCUUUAGAAGACGCCAUUGCUCUUGAGAACCCUAAACUGCUUUGGACCACUGCAAGACUGAAACGACGUCGGUUAACGAGAUAUGCACAAAAAUGGUGUAUAUGAUUUUAUGUCUGAGUGUAUUACCUUGGACGAAUUAGGAAAGUGCGGAAACCUAGUAUUGUGGGAGAUGGAAAUACAUGAUACAUUGAGAGGGGGACAGGAUAAAGAGACGGGGUGCGUAUGUUAAGGGAGGAGAGGAGGCGCAGGAUAGCAGCAUGACGAGGAGGAGCUAUGUUAGGGUUGUGAGAUAGGCGGCAAGGUUCGUCAGGUGUGGCAACGGUCAAGUCGGAGGACGUCGGGGAGGACGCGUAUUAGAGCAUCUCCAACGCAGGUCACCUGUUAGCUUUAAAAUCUACGUGUCAGUCUAUAUAUCUAAACCCUAAAAAAAACACAACUCCAAGGCAGUUGAAUCAGUGUCUGUCAUCUAUAUCAUAUCCACGUCAUUUUCUUUUAAAAUUUAAUUUUCUCUGCUUUAACCCCUAGGUGUCUAUAUUAUAUUAUAUAUGUAGAGUUAAGUUCUAUGUAGUCCACAUAUUUACUGUAGUACCGUAGACCACGUAUGUUCUGCAAUUAUAGAAUGACAUAAACACAUUGCAAGAUGUAUGAAACUUGUUAUUUUGUGAAAUACAUUCUAUAAAUAUCACUAUUUCAUGAAAAAUAUUGAAAAUCAUUUAUGUUCGACAAGUAGAACACAUAUGUUCUGUAAUAUGUAAAUAUGUUCUGCAAACUUAACAUGUUUUGCAGAAUAAUGUGUUUUUCACUAUUUAAUUUGUAGAAUGUUUAGGAUUGUCAAAAUUUUUAACAAAAGAAUGAUGUUUAUAGAAUUUGAUUUGCAAAAUAACACAUUUUACAAUGUUUUUAUGUCAUUCCAUAGUUGCAGAACAUACAUGGUCUACGGUACUACAGUAAAUAUGUGGAUUACAUGGAACUUUGUUCUAUAUAUGUAUUAUAAUAUUAUAAUUCUAUUAUAUAUAUAUAUGUAUUUGUAUAACUUUUAAUUUUUAUAAUUUAAUUUUAUGCAUUGUUAAGUGUAAAAAUAUUUAUAAAAAAUUAAUAAUAUAAUAAAACUAAUAUAAUAACUUAUAUAGUUAUUUAACGUCAAUUGUGAAUUUUUAACAAAGAAAAUUAGUAUAUAUUUUUUUUAAUUAUAUUUUUUAUUUUCACUUAUAUUAAAUAAUAAAAUAAUUAUCUUUAUAUUUUUAAUUCUUUCAAAACCUUUUUCAAAAGAUAAUUAUCAAUAGAUAGUUAACUUAAAAUCUUUCAUUUUGACUUUUAUUCUUGCCCUUCUAAUUUUUUUUAUUUAUAGCAUAUAACAUUCUACCUUAAAUCAUUUUUACAAUAUUUAAAUUAAAAUAUUUAAGGUACUAUUAUUAUUAUUAUUAUUAUUGCAAGUAUAUAUGUAUUAUUCAUGUUUUUUUAUAAAUAAUAUUGUUAUGUAAUAUUAUGUGAAAAUGUUACUUUAUUGUCAAUCAAAUUUUUUAAAAAUAUAAUAUAAUAAUAUAAAAAUGUUAAAUAUUAUAAUUAAUCAUUAUUUAUUAAAGAUAUUAUUUUGUUUUCAAUAAUAUAGAAUAAAAACUAAAUAAAUCAUUUUAUUGUAUAUUAAUAUGUUAACAUUUAAAAUAAUAUUUUGCAUAUAGCUAAUGGUUUUAGCUAAUAUCCACCGGAGCAAAAAUCCUUACAGGCUCAAAAAAAAAUUAGCUAAUGAUAUUUUAGCUAACAGUUUCAUGUUUAGUAUUGGAGAUGCUCUUACAUGUGUUCUUUAUUUACUUACAGAAAAAUAUAAUAUAAAAAAUGUGGCUCUUAGCAAUUUAGGACAAAAUUAAGAGUAUAAACUACAACAAUACUCUCUACAUCUCUUCUCUAUUUCAUAUUUUAUUCAUAUAUUGGGCUCCACUGUAACAAAAGAGAGAGAAAGAUGAAAGUGAAUUGGAGGGAAUAAUUUUUUUUAUUGUGAAAAAAUAAGUUAAGAGCAAUGUGGUGUCUCUUAACUUUGAGGAGAGAGGAGAGAGAAACAAGAGGCUCUUAGUGAUUUAAAGAGCCACUUAGAGCAACUCCAAGGGGCUCUCUAAACAAGCUCCUAAGUCUAAAAUUUAGGAGCAAAUCAAAAUUUAGUGCUCCAAUGGGCUCCUAGAUGCUCUUUAAAAAUUUAGGAGCCUACUCUCUCUCCUUUCUUUUAAAGAGCAUCUAGUAGCUCCUAACUCAAUAUUAUAUUAUUUUUCCUUCAAUCUUCUCUCUCUUUUAGUUAACUUUUUCCUCUCAUUUAUAUAAAAUAAAUAUAAAAUAUGAAUAAGGAGCCAAAUAUAAAGAGUAGCAUUGGAGUUCUCACGUUUUCCGGUGUAUUAACUUACUAGGAGCCACAUUUUAUAUUAUUGUUUAGGGAAUGAUUUAGGAGUACCGUCUAAGAGCAUCUCCAAUGGUGCUCCUAAAUCCUCUUUUAAAAAAUAGUAUAAUAUGUGGCUCCUGGUAAGUUAAUACAUUGAAUAUCGUGGCAACUCCAACCACACUCUUUAUACUUGCUCUCAACUCAUAUUUUAUUAUUAUUUGAGAGAAAAGUGGGAGAGAGAAUUAGAGAGAAGUGAAUAGAAAUAGAAGAAGCGAUUAUUUUAUUCAAUGAAAAUAUGUUAGGAGCACCUAGAUGCUCUUUAAAAGAAAGGGGAGAGAGGAAAGGAGCCCAUUGGAGCUUUAAUUUUUCAUAUCCUCCUAAAAUUUAGAGUUAAGAGCUUGUUUGAGGAGUCCAUUAGAAUUACUCUAAAUGAAGAGGAUCUUGGAGAUGCUCUAAGUAUUUUUGUUUCAGAGCAUAUCCGACCAUCAAAAACCCUGCUAAAAUGUGGGUAGACAUACCAAAAAUAAAAAAUUUGAUCAACCUCCCAUUAAACUCACAAUCCGAUCAUACAUAUCUUGUUGUCUAUGAUUUUAAUCAACCUCUCGUGGGGACUAUAUUUGUUGAAUAUGUGUAGGUUUAAAAUAUUAAUAACAUAUAAUUUUUAAAUUAUAGCCAACGCCAAUCUCAUUAAAGUAUAAUAUCUUACAAGUUGAGCAAAUUUUAUAUAAAGUUUUAAAGGUUCAAUUUAGCCAACGAUUAUAGUCAACACUCUUGGAAAUUCUCCUAGGCUCGAUUUCUCAAUUUCUCCAAACCGAAUGUAAAUGAAAACAAAACAACUUUCAUUUAUAUUUCAUUUUUGGAAUAAAAUUUUUGGAAUGAAACUAUAUUAUAAUUACACACACGCACAUCUCAUUCUAUAUCUAUAUGUUCUUAACGAGCGCAAUGUCCAUUUAGCCUUUUUAGCCACGAGUUACCCAUGUUUUACUCACUUCCUAAUCGAAAUUACCUAUUCUACCUGACCCGUUUAGAAAAAAAUAACCGGCUACAUAACCGACUCCAACAACUCAUAUAUUUUACCUUGCCUUCUUCACGAAAAUUGAUUGCUGAUUUAUUCUGUUGUCUGCUAAUUACGGCAUUCAUAUCUUCCAUCGUGGAAAGUGCAUGUAAUCAAGGAUGCAUAUUAGACUAUGAAUGUUAUUUUUCAAAAUUCAAACUGAAGUUAUUUGCUUGCUAUGGAAGAGUUCUUGUGUGGGUUCGUAGAGUGAUUUUUGGCAAGCGUCUCAUCGGCUAUGGAAGCAGCCAAUGAUUAAUUGGUCAAGCUCAGAUUUGUACAGAAGAGGCCUGAUCUUGCAAUAGUAUUUACCGGGACUGUACUUUCCACCACCGUGAUUGCGAGGCUCAUGUAUUGUCUUUGAUGUGUAGGUCGUAAGAGAAAUAAAGAAAAUCAGUCAGAUGGUUCACUUGCUGGUAUUAGCGUAACCAUUGCCUGACAUUCAUCAAUUGAGCAUUGUACUUUAUGCCGUGUUUGUUUAAGGUAGGAACACCACGUGUUUGUGUUUUUUAUUCACCACCGGCACCAUGUUGCAGGCAGGAUUUAUUAUUUCUGCAAAGACGCGCUGAAAACAUUAAGAAAUCCAGGACCAUCGGGACUUCGUCAGCGUUUGACAAUAUCAGCUCAGGAAAAAAUGGUAUUCACGCUCUCUCAUUGUGUAGACUUGCUGAUUUGUGAUCGAUGUCUUACAAUGUAUGCAUCAUUCUUCGCUUUUUAUUAUCGCAGCCACGAGUCGUGUCCCUCUAUCAACUGUUGAUCAUAAUGAAUCCAAUCAAUGUAUGUCGGAAUUUCUGUCAAAUGUACAUAUUUAGUUGGAUGCUGCAUACUCUGUAUUGUUUUGAUCUAAUUAUAGUGCUGAUACACACUGUUUCUUUUUGUGUUGUAUACUCAUCUCCUCUCAUUGUUUGCAUAGUGAGAGAGUAUUUGUUAGUGCAAAUAUGUUGUUUUGUCUUCUAAUGGACAAUUGUUUUAGAUGUAGGCAACAGUCAUUCUCCUCUUUCCAACAGUCGUCGGUAUUCGUUGGUUGCAGAAACCUGUGAAUCAGAUUAUGCUCUUAAAGGUACUGGCAGGUCUUUUUUAAUGGUUUGCCUAUAAGUUACGAUGAGUUGAUGAUUGUUCUUUGUUACUUUCACACAUUUCAUCGUUGAACAUUUUACCAUUGCAGCCACAGGUCGUGUCUUGCUAUCAACUGUUGACCAGAAUGCAUCAAAUCAAUGUAAGUUGGACAUACCUUCUGAGCAUUUAAAGAUUAAAGGGGCUGCUCUAAGCUUUUUAUAUAUUUGGUUUAAUUUUAUAGUCACUGCAUUGUGUCCAAUGUUAUUUUUGAAGUGUUAUUCGAGCACGUGAUUGUUGAUCUUUCACUUUUCUUGCAGCAAUCAGGCGUUCUCCGUUGUCCAAUAUUGAUCAAAAUGCAAAUCCUGGCUUUUGUGUUGGAUUCUACCGUCACAGGUCGAUAGCAAUUUAGCUGUGUUAGAUUUCAUUUUAAUUUUCCACCUUUAUAUCAUGGAUAUAAAUUUCUAUAUUUGUUGCUCACCGCGUUGAAAUAUAACUGAUGUUGAAAUUUGGAAUCAGGUGUCAAGCGUAGAGGUCCUGAUAAUAUUUUGCUUACAAUAUGCUCAAGGUUUUCUGUGUACUGGAUGCUACUCAGUGCCAAUCCUCACAACCAACUUUCUUAACGUAUUGUUCUCUCAUCUCCAGACCACACGAUCCUCCCAUCUUCUUUAUAAACAAGUAUAUAAUGUACAGUUUUCUUAAAUUUACCCGAUAUUAUUGAUGGCGUUGAUAAACUAACUAUAACCAGAAAACAGAUUUUUGAUUUAGCUAUGGGUUUUGGCCUUGAAAACCGAUGAUGAAAUUCAUGAUGAUAAUGUAGAACCUGUAGAUUUCUUGACUACUGAUGGGUUGCCUCAAGCAGAAGGAUUAAUCUAUUUUAAGUGUCAUGAUACAACAUAAGGAUAGGUUAGCAAAUAAUAGUUUUAUAACAAAGACACCUGCAAGAUUGUUAAACGAUACGAAGAUUUAGGCCUCAUGCACCCAACAAGACAUCAUAUAAAUCAUUACUGCACAUAUGCAGUGACAAACAGUAUGAACACUGAGAAAGCUCAGAGAUCUAUACCAAGUUGUGCAGCAUUUUAUUGUAAUUCUUUGACACUUGACACCAAACAAAUACUAUACAAGACAAACAGAAACCAAGUCAGCCAUAUAGUGUAUUCUACAAAUUGAAUACAAAAUGCAUGAUCAUUUUCUGCAUAUAGGUCUCCUCUCAGGUGAUAACAUUUGCCGCUGAGUGAAAAGCAGGAGGCGGAACAUUUGAGGAGGUUUCUACUGGUGGUUCAGUACGUCGAAGUUUCCUUUUGCUCUGUCGAGGUUGAGCUUUCAGGCCCAGAUCUGAGCCUGCAGCAGGAUGUUUCCUUACUAUCUUCUGAGGCGGAACUGCACAUGUUUCAGUUGGGUCAGGUAUGACUUCGGCUAAUUUACAAUUCUUCUCAAUCUCGUGUUGUAUAAAUGUCUGCAUCAUAUUUAGAGGUUGAUGAGCAAACUUUUCAAUCUUCCUUCUACUAUACAAGCUGUUGAAUAAAAAUCUCUAUACAAAGGAGGAGAUGUAAUAAAGGAGUAUAAGCAGGAGAUGUACAAAGGAGUUUUCUGUUCUUUUCAAUAUUCAAGCAUCAGGCCUGCACCAAUUAAUACUAUUUUUAAUAAUACUAUUUGUUCAUUUGGCGAAGUGUUUGGGAGUCGAAGUCAGUUCUCUCCGCUGGCCUUAAAUGGUCAGUUGGAUCUGGGGAAAAUAUAAAAAUUUAUGGCCAACCUUGGCUGGGGAACGACUCUAAUCCUUAUAUUAUUUCAGAACCAAUGCCCCUGGAGAAUUUCAAGGUCUCUUCUCUGUUUUACAAUGGGAGUCGAGUUUGGAAUAUUGAGCUCAUAAGAGACAUGUUUGUUGCUCGGGAUCAAGAUUGUAUAAUAAACACAAAGGUACACGAGCAGGGUUCCGAGGAUCGCUUAUACUGGUGCAAGGAGACCUCAGGGGUGUACUCAGUUCGCAGUGCUUAUCGGCUUUUACAAGCUCAGAAAAAUUUAUGGCAAAGUCGUGAUAAUAUUAGUUUUUGGCGAAAGGUCUGGCGGGUUAAAGCUCCACCAAAAGUUCUCAAUCUUAUAUGGAGGGUUCUUUCUAAUAGUCUUCCAACUAAAAGCCAACUGGUCCAAAAAUUUGUGCCAAUUCUUAAUACAUGUCCUUUCUGUAAUACAGAGGAGGAAACAACUAUGCACGUGCUGGUGACUUGCCCUGUAGCUAAGCAAUGCUGGGUGGGUUUGUUACCAGUAAAUCAAGUUAAGAGCAUCUCCAACGGCGUUGGCUAUAAUUGUUGGCUAAAUUGGACCUGUAAGACAUUAUGUAAAAUUUGCUGAACCUGUAAGACAUUUUGCUUCAAUGGUACUGGCUAUAUUGGUUGGCUAUAAUUUAAAAAUAGUAUGUUAUUAAUAUUUUAAAUUGUUAAAAUAGAAUAUAUCAGUUCAAUAUGGUAAUAAAUGAUGUACAAUCUUCCUGCAGAUUUUCUUACAGACCUGUAGAGGUUCGACAAAUUUAGCCAUCCAUAAGAGGUUGGCUAAAUUUAUAGACAACAGGUGAGCAUGGUUGGAGUUGAGAUUUUGAAGCUGUUGGCUAUUUUUUUUAUUUUAGGUAUGCCAACUCACUUUUUAGCCAAUGGCUUUAGAUGGUUGGAGAUGCUCUAAUGACGGUACUGAUUUUGGAACAUGGUUAGAAUGAGUGUUCCAACACAAUUCAAAUUAUCAAAAAGCGGAUAUUAUUACAUUAUGUUGGGCGAUUUGGAAAGCUCGAAAUGAGCUGGUUUGGGAUUAAAAGUAUCCUCACUUAGAUGCUAUUGUAGUGUCAGCAAUGCAGUAUCUUGGAAGUUGGAGAAAUGCCCAGGUUAUCAUUUCAUCAACUAUGUUUCCUAAUCUGUGUUCAGGGGAGGGAGCCAGUGCUUGGGUCAAGCCGCCGAAGUCAACAAUCAAGGUAACUGAGGAUGCUGCUACAUUUAAUUCUUUGAUGUGUAUCCCUCUCUUUCCAUGCUUUGAUGUGUCAACUUUUAGACAUCAUAAAUCUUGACAACUAACCUAUAGUAAGCAUACCAAUGAGUUUUUGUACACAGAUACACAUGUUGUAUCGACUAUUUUAGCUUGCAGGACAGAUGAGGCAAAUGUGUUUGGUAGGACUACUCAGAAUUCAUUUUACUACUUUUAUGACAAGGAUGGUCAUUCAAGAUCAAUGACAGUCUAAUAGUGAACCGCAUAUAGCAUAUCUAUUAAUGGCAAUACUACUAACUUCACUUCGAGUUUCUUCUCAUUCUUCAAGCAGAUGGAUAAACUGGAGAAAGUUGCUAAAGACAGGUUUUGGACCGGCAAUGAUGCUGCUUCUGGAGAUGUAGUCNGGAAGAGUUAUGUGCAACUGUGCAUUAAAUUUGUAUUCAUUCAUUUUAUGGUCGUAUAUUGAUUUCUAUUUUCCUUCAAUGCUCAGAAUCUUUUAUAUAUUAAAGAAGCAACCGCAGAUUUGAAGAUGAAAGCCCUUUGCAAAAAUUAAAAAUUAUGCUUUGAUUUUCACAGAAAUUAAGAAUUAUGCUUUGAUUUUCACACUGCAGAUUUAAAUAUAAGUAAUAUAUUAAGUAAAAUUAAUACAAUAUUUUUUUUGCAAUUUCACAUUAUGAUUAUUUAAAAUUUAAUAAUACACUAUAUAUAUUUAAUAAUUAUUAAGAAAUAAUCAUACAAUAUUUUUAUUAGAAAUUUAAUGAUCUCCUACUUUUUUUUCAAAAUUAUUGAGGGUGUUAGCACGUGUAGCGCGGACAUAAUUCCCAAUUUAUAUUAAACAAUACUAAUAACAAUAAUUUUGUAAGAUGAUAGAACAAUUUUUUUGACCUCUUUUUACAAGAUUGAUUUUUGACAUUUAAGAGAAUCGAAACUUAUUCUUUUUGUUGGAAUUAUAAAUUGUGUCUUGAUAGCGUAAAUCUUUAGUUUUUCAAUAUUAUAUAAGUAUUAGUUUUUUUUUAUUCACUUUCAAAUUUAAAUUUAAUAUUAUAUGCAAAUAUAACUUAAAUCCGGAAAAUCAACAUAAUCAAGAAUUAUAAAAAUCAUAAUUGUAAUUUUUCAAUUAAAUUUUACAAUUACGAUCCAAUUACUAAUAUUAUUCCCUUAAAUAUUUUAUUUUAUUUCUAAUUAUAUCAAAAAUAAAAAUACUAUAUCAAAAAUAUUAUUUAAUACCAAAAUCUAAUAUUACAUUUUUAUUAAAAGGUAAAAGAAAAUUAAGAUUGUUCCGACCAAUAUUUUGUUAGCAUUAAAUUUCAAUUUUCAUAUAAUCGUGUUAUAUGAGUGGUUGAAUUCCAAAAUUUUACUUACUUUGAAAUUUAGUUUAAUUAUAGAAAUCAACAAUUAUAUGAAAAUCAAGAAUUAUAAGAUAAUAUUGUUAAAUUUUAAGAUAUAACUGUUAGAAUCAACAUAGAAUUUUAGCUAUCAUAUUUAACAAGAUUCUUAAAAUAAAAUUCUCACUUAUGUUACAAUUAAAUUUAAAAUUUUAUGCAGAUAUAACUUAACAUUUGAUAACCGGGAAUUUAGAAUUUUAAAAAAAAUGCUGUAAUAUAUAAAAAUUAACAAAUUAAUAAGUAUAAUUCAUAUACAAAUAUCACUUUCACUAUAUUUUGUUAGCAUAAAUCUCAAUUUUUAACGGUGAUCGAAUACCAUAUAUCCCAAAUAAUUAAUUUUUUGAUGAUGCAGUACCUGUAAAUAUACAUAAUAUGCUAAAUAAAUAUUAAAAAUCUAAUGUUAAUAUUUGUUUAAUUUAUUUUCCCACCUUAUUUUAAUGAAAAUUUUAAUAAUUUACCCGCACGCGAAGCGCGGGCAUAAUUCCCUAGUGUAUAAAAUAACUUUGUUAAUAAUGAUCAUAAAAAUCUCACUGAUUUUCACAAUAUUUCAAAAAGCUUAAAAUCAUUAAACUAUUCAUAAAAUCCAUCAUCUUAUCAAGUUGGAGAAAAUCCAUCAAAAAUUAAAUAUCAUCAUAUUUUAAUAGAUUUUAUACAAUCUUAAAUGAAUAUUGUCGAAUUUUUAAGCAUAAUCUAAAAUUCCAAUUUAAUCAACCAAAUUUUGUAGCAUUAUUUAAAAUCUUAAUAACUGAUUGCUCAAAGAUUUCGAUAACUUUUUAAAAUCAGAAUUGAAUAUUCUCGAAUUUCAUGAAAUAGUUAUUUAAAUUCUUACCGAAUACACUCCCUUAAAUAACAUAGUACAAUCCUACGAAAUCGAUCAUUUUACCCGAAGUCCAAAAGAAUCCAUUUAAUAAUGCCAUCAGAUUUUAAUAGUAGAUUUUAAAUAAUCCUCAAUUUAAAACAUAAUUUAACUAAUUAAAUAUCACCAGAUUUUGUAACAUAAUUUAAAAUCCUAAUUGAAUAUUCGAGGAUUUAAAUAAUUUUUAAAAUUCAAAUUGAAUAAUCUCGAAUUCCAAAAACAAUUUUUUUUUGAAAUAAAAAAAAACAAUUUUAAAAACAAUUUUUUUAAAAUUUAAAAAAACAAUUUUUUUAAAAUUUAAAUUCCAAUUGAAAAAAAUAAAUAUAUUGAUUAUCUGAUAUCCUGUUGCUGAUUUGCCAACUGUAACUCUGUAAGUCGGAGCAUAAACAAAGAGUAAAACAGAGUGGAAUCUUUUCUCCUCUGCGUGCGACUAAUCUCGUAUCUCUCACCGGCCGCCAUUUUACAAAUUUAUAACAACCCCCAUCUACACUUCCUAGUUGCUGCACAUCUCAUUACACAAACAGGUGCGUUUUGCAAUUCAAUUAUGUGUAUAUACAUUUAUAUUUAACACAGUGUCCAUUGGUGUUGCUCUAAUGCAUUUUUCUUGUCUAAUUCAAUUUACUGAGAUCUGGGUAUGUAAUUUUUGUUGCUUUAGUUGAGAUUUAUUGAUUUUAGUGUGCUGUUAUUGUGUUUUAUGUUGUGGGUUUUAGUUUAGCUGAUGAUUUUGACAACUUUUCGUUAAUUUUUAUGAAUUGAUGGUUUUUUUAGAACUUCAAAAGGGAUGAUAGAAUUGAAUGUUUAAGGUUGAAGAAGUACAAUGUUGUUAAGUUAUCGGUUGUCCUAAAAUCUGAAUGUUAUAUUUUAACAGUUCUCCUCGGUGGGAGUUUAUUUUUGAUUCGACGAGUGGAUCAAGCGACUUGCUGGGGUAGCAUCUUGUAUUACAGUCUAACAAUUGUAAUUAACCGGUUAUUUUGUAUCAUGUGUAUUUUAUGGUUUUGUCUAUGUAAUUGAGUCAGGUUGUGUAAGAUAUUAUGAUAUAAGAUCCUCACGAGAUCAAAUUGCGACCCACUUGGAACUAUAGUGGACCCGGAAAUUGAUAGACCUACCUAGUAAUCCACUCUUCAAAACCAAAAAAUGGGAUCCUAAGAAAGGAUAGAGCCACUGUAGGGAUCCACUCUUUGAAAGCAAAAACCUGGGCUUUCGAGUGAGGAGGGAUAGUGAUCCACCCUGCAAAUCCAAAAAGUGGGAUUUUAAGUGAGAGGGAUAUUGAUGACAAAAAGAUCAUUUCAAGCCCAACACCUUGAUCUUUAAGGAGAAGUGUAACAUAAGUCAGAGUUAACGCUACGUAGUACCUGUGGUUUAUAAAUGUGACCCGAGAGUCUGCAGUGUAAGUGUACAAAAUAUCUAUUUAGGGAGCAUGCUUUUAUCUUCUCGAUCAGAUUUUAAUUUAGGAUCAUUGCCCUUUUAUUUUAUUUAAAAUUGGGAUCAGAUUUUAAUAUUUUGGAAAAACAAACUUUACUGCAAGUUUAGUUCUUCAAUGUUUUGUUAUUUGCAAUAUAUUGAUAUUUAGGCAGGGAGGUGGAAUUAUAGUUUAUACUUUAUAGGAAUUAGGAAAGUGUUGUGUUCACAACAUAUAUGUGAAUGAGAUUGCCAUGUUGCAUGAUUUCUGAUAUAGUAGUACAGUAUAUGGUUACAAGCCUUUUCUUUUACCCUUCAACUGGUUAUAGAAAAUAUGCAUCUGAUAUGUUUAUGAGGUUCUGCAGGUAGGGUUUUCUAAAAAAUGGCGGGAGCUCAGUCAUCUCAAGGAUAUGGCCAUCCUUAUAUUCCGGAAGAUCUUAGUCUUCCAGGUUUCGUGCCUGGUUUUCUCUCAAUGUCAACUAUUGUUGGAGUCUAUGGAGGGUCUUCGUUGCUUGUUGUAUCCCUCGUAUGGAUUAUCUCCGGUAAUCUAUUCUAAACAGAUGAUAUAGAUUUUUUCAUAACUAACCUCAACUCCAAAUAAGUCCGAAAUUAUGUUUGUUCAUGUGCCUUGGCUUGAAAAGGAUAUGUAAUCUAUAUGUUUGCUUAUCAAAACAGACCUAUAUGCAUCUACUUUUACCAGAGCGUAGUAACUUCCUUAGUCUACGAUCGCCCUGGUCAAUUGAUCUUGAUUUAAUACAUUUUUAUGGGUAGGAAUUGUCUUUUGAAUGGAAACAGCAGCAUUUUUGAAAUUAGUGUAUGGACAAAAACAUUUUUUGAAGUUGAAUUGGUUGAAUCAUGUUGAAGAUAUUAAUUAAGAUAUAUCAAUGUAAAAGAAUCUCUAUGAUUUUACAACUUAGUAUAGAAUCAAAUGUUUGAAAUGAACAAAUAUUUUAUCUCAUACCUUUUGUCUUCCUGAUUAAUUCUAUACAAAUGAAAGUAUUGUUGAUUUUAACUAGAACUUUAUUUUUUUUUCUUAUGCAAAAGGGAGAGCUGCUAAAUUAGCCAAACUUGACAGAUUGCUCAUGUGCUGGUGGGUUUUCACUGGUCUGACCCACAUGAUACUUGAGGGUUAUUUUGUUUUUUCACCGCAAUUUUAUCAGAAGACAACUCCCCAUUACCUAGCAGAAGUCUGUAAGUUAUCUGUUGCUCUUAUCUCUACACACCAGUAAAAGAUUUGGGUCACCUUUAGACUUUAUUUAUAGUGCUCCUAAUAAAUAAAAUUCAGGGAAGGAAUACAGCAAAGGUGAUUCAAGAUACGUAGGACGGGAUUCUGGAGUAAUUGCUGUAGAAGGAAUAACUGCAGUUUUGGAGGGUCCAGCUUGCCUUCUAGUAACGUAUGUUUAUAUGUUAUAAACUUCCUUCUAGUAAAUAUAGAGCACUAUACUUAUUUCUUUUACCAAAAUGUCCAUGUAAAGGGAAGAAAAUCAUGUUUUAAUUGGGAAAUAAGAGAGAUGAAUGACAUUGCAUUAGAAGGUCAAACAAUUUUUUGCCAGGACUGGUAGAAACUUAUAUGUAGCUUAAAGUUGCUAAUUCAUUCCAUAUGAUUGUGUUUAAGAAACCAAAAAAAGAAAAAGGUAAUAGUUUCUGAAGAGUGCAAGCUCCUCAUAUAGCGAGAUGCUUAUAUAGUCAACAAUAUUAGUUGCCCUCAUACCUUCAGUUAUUAAACUCCAUAAAAAAUGUCAAUGCUAAAUCUACUAACCUGUGAUACAAGUGCAUAUGAUUGCAUUAGAAGGUCAACAAUUUUUUGCUAGGACUGGUAGAAACUUAUAUGAUUGCAUACGAGAGAUGAAUGACAUUGCAUUAGAAGGUCAACCAUUUUUUGCUAGGACUGGUAGAAACUUAUAUGUAGAUUAAAGUUGCUAAUUCCAUUCCAAAUGAUUGUGUUAAGGAAACCAAAAAAAGAAGAAGAGAAGGUAAUGGUUUCUGAAGAGUGCAAGCUCCUUAUAUAGCCAGAUGCUUAUAUAGUCAACGACUGAACAUAUUAGUUGUCCUCGUAUUUUCAGUCUUUAAACUCCAGCAAGAAUGUCAAUGCUAAAUCUACUAGCCUCUGAUACAAGUGCAUAUGCUUGCGUGUGCUACUGCGCUCCACUGUUAAUUGUUCUUAAAUGAUAUUCUUAACAUUUGGCAGGUAUGCUAUAGCCAAAAGGAAAUCAUACAGCCACAUACUUCAGAUUGCUAUUUCUCUUGGACAGCUAUACGGGACUGCUGUAUAUUUCAUCACUUCUUUCUUGGAAGGGGAUAACUUCGCCACAAACUCUUUCUAUUAUUAUGCCUACUACAUAUUUGCAAACUCUUUUUGGGUUUGGAUACCUACACUUAUAGUUAUUCGGAGCUGGAGCAAGAUAUGUGCAGCAUUUACAGCCCAAGAGCAGAAAAAUUCAAAGGCCAAGAAACGUUGAAGGUUAGCUAUGAAGUACAAGCUUGAUUUAUUUGAUUAUCCAUUCAUGUGUGGGGGCAUUUACACAUAUAUAUUAAUCAUACAAUGAGAUAUGUAUGCAUGCAAAUCGUACAAUGAGAUAUUUGGAUAUCCUUACCAGAUCUAAAUUUUUUCACACAUAUUGGAUUUUUAAACGUAUUUGUUUACCUUUUGCUAAUUCACUCUCCUGAUCUCUUAGAGUAUAGUCUGAGAAGUUUUGGUGCUUUCUACCUUUUGGUUUCACGGCUGCAAGUAAAAUUAGUUGAAAUUAAGUAUAGCCUAGAACCUAGAUCCACCCUCUAGUGCUGUCGAAGUUGAGUGCAAUAUCCUUUGGGAGUUAAAUUAACCCAUCUUGCUAGGUUAUUCCUGACAGCCCCUUAAAUGUAGAAAAGUAGAGGUGCCCGAAGAAGUUCACUUAUGAUAACUAGAGAUAUCUUCUAUUGGUAACUGGAGAUCGAUGGUUUGAGCUUCAGUGGAGAUAUACACUGUCAUUUUAAUGUUGCCCCUUGUCACCUAGAUCAAAAUUAGCAAGUAUAAACUAGGAAAAUCUGAAAGAAUAAUUUAUGUACCUAGAUCAAAAUUAGCAAGUAUAAACUAGGAAAAUCUGAAAGAAUAAUUUAUGUACCUAGAUCAAAAUUAGCAAGUAUAAACUAGGAAAAUCUGAAAGAAUAAUUAAUGUAAGACAAUAUCAAAGCUAGAGUUUAACAAAGGGAAUAAAGCCUCCGGCCUGGUCACAACAUGCAAAACAAUGUUUUAACUUUGUAAUUACCGCCAUUGCUGCGUAUUUGGUUAGUUGAUUAAUAUAAAAAGUUUUAGUUCUCUCCUCUAGGCAAAUGCUUAUCUAAAAUCUUUCUUCUAUGGACCGUAAUAAUUUCUGGUUCCAACAUUCUUUCACCAUUGCCACAUUUGGCAUUAUAGCUUUGAUAGUUACUCUACGCCGCUGUUUCACAACCAUCACUCUUCGAGAUCAACAGGCUGAAGCACUACCACACAAAUCCGUCAUCCUUGAACAUACCGACAUUAGGAGCAUCCCAACUCAUAGAUACAUCAGGGGCAAUAGACAGUCUGCUGAAUGUGCUGUGUGUUUAAGCGAGUUUGAAGAUAAUCAAGUAUUGCGAACUUUGCCUAAAUGCAAUCACUCGUUUCAUGUUGAUUGUAUCGAUAUGUGGCUCUAUUCACAUCCGAAUUGUCCGACAUGUCGGACCAGUAUAAUGCCUUCUCCUUCAUCUUUGCCUGAAGAACACAUACACAUUCAAGUGGAGCCAGUACGAUAACACUUGGUUUUAUAUCAUGAUACAAGAUUUAGAGUUGCAGCGAGUAAUUUGUUUCAAGCUAACUUGAUCUCUUUGUCAUUAGUUCUUUCAUCUUACUUGAAGUUGAAUGAGAUUGCCAAAGUUUUAACCAAGUUUCAACAAACGAACUCAUCUUUUUGUAGAAUCAUUUAAAUAUGCAGCAUUCGAGGGGAAAUGAGACGUAAGGCGUCUAUAUCUGGCUAUACAUCAUUUAUUAAUUAAUUAAUUACAAUGUAUAAAACAAAUUGAAAUUAUAUCCACGAUGCAACUCACAUCCAUUUUAUGAAAUAUCAAUAUUUGUAUGAAACAGCAGUUAUUAUAUUAUUAAAAAUAUUAUAGAUAAUUAAUUAUGGGUAUAAGUUUUCUUUGGUCAAAAGUUUUUGUGGUAUAUAUAUUUAGAACAAAAUUCCAUGUAGUCCACAUAUUUACUAUAGUACCGUAGACCAUGUAUAUUCUGCAACUAUAAAAUGGCAUAAAAACAUUGCAAAAUGUAUUAUUUUACAAAUUAUGUUCUAUAAACAUCAUUAUUUUGUUAAAAAUUUUGACAAUCCUAAACAUCCUACAAAUUAAAUAGUGAAAAACACAUUAUCUUGCAAAACAUGUUAAGUUUGCAGAACAUAUUUACAUAUUACAGAACAUAUGUGUUCUACUUGUCGAACAUAAAUGAUUUUCAAUAUUUUUCAUGAAAUAGUGAUAUUUAUAGAAUGUAUUUCACAAAAUAACAAAUUUCAUACGUUUUGCAAUGUUUUUAUGCCAUUUAUAGUUGCAGAACAUACGUGGUGUACGGUAUUACAGUAAAUAUUUGGACUACAUGAAACUUAUUAUAUUAAAAGUUUUGGAGGCCAAGAUCAUUUAAUUAUUAAAUAUGAGACAUCUAAAUCUCUUCCUAAUAUAAUUGUUCUCUUUGACUAUUCUACAAAAUCGGAAAAAUAACAUCAAGCAGAGGAAAUGUUGUGAUAGGUGAUUGGGGAAACCGUUCUCCUCUUGCUUUCCGAUGACGCAUUGUAAUCUUUCCGACCUCAAACAAUAUCUUAUGAUCCCGACGACGGUGUGUCAAAGAGUGCUUAUCAAAUACAUUGUAGGGGGCCGUUAGAUAUAUAUUUAAAAGAUUUAGAUUCAAUCUUAAUUUUUAGUGGAUCUGCUAUAAAUAUCCGGGGAACGGGAGUUCUCCUUUUCAGGGAUAAUAUUCGUGAAAUAAAACUUUGCCGUUCUGCAGAUAUUAAUAGCGGAUCUAUUAAAAAAUAAAAUUUAAUCUGAACUCUUAAAAUAUAGAUCCAACGGUAUGUUAAAUAAGUCAUUCCUGACACACGGUUGAUUGUCAAGGAACAGGACCCGUUUCUUAUUUUCAACAACCUUCUGAGUCCUUAGGCUUCAUUAUUUUUAACAACCUUAUUUUAUAUUUUAAUAUAAUAUAUAUUUAUUUCUAAUUUUAGUUUUAAUACUUUUAAUUAUCAAUAUUACAUUUUUAAAAAUGAGCAUAUCUAUAGAAGUUAUUGGUGUUGUAAUACCUUAUAGCACUUUGAAUUGUUGUAAGUCUAAUUAUUUAUAAGAAAGCAAAGGAUUAAAACCAAUAUCGGUUUUUCUAUGGUGUGUCUAUGGGCACACAUUAAGCACUAACGCUUAUGAGUUUGGUGCAUUUCUAUUGGUCAUCUAAUCAUAAAUAAGGAUGACACUCCUGCAUAUGCAUCAAGUCCACCAAUCAAAAUCCACCAAAUUUAUCAAAUUUAAUGCUUAAUGUGUGCCGGCACACACUAGAAAGACCCAACCAAUAUUUAUAUAUUCAAAUUUAGUAACGUCACCAUUCCGAGGAUUAGUUACGUCAGAGUUUGGAGAAAUAUCACCUACCAAACAAACAGGUAGAGUCUUCCCGAUAAAAACAGCGUAUUGAUUAUUGAUGAACUUGUACUCAGGUAGUUGAAUUUUGUUCAAGUCAGUACAGUGAUAAUUUAUUGUUCUUAAAUGAAGGCACUUAAAUUUGUUAUCGUGUCUUCAAUUUCUUUUCUAAAAUUUACAUAAAUAUAGAAAUAUCAGCAUGAAAAGUAACAAACCUGUCAAUUCUUUUCUAUGCAAAAGGGUAGUUGAACAGUUAAUUUGUAAAAAAAAAAUAAUAUUUUUGCAAAUAACUCCUUAAUUAAAAACAAUUUCAGUAAUUAUUUUUGUGAGAAACAUCUAUCAUGUACAAAAAUCAAAUACCAGCUUAUUUCAAGUGUACAAUAAUAAUAAUAAUAAUAAUAAUAUUAUUAUUAUUAUUAUUAUUAUUAUUAUUAAUCAUUUAACAGAAUAAUUUACUAUAAUAUAUUACGAGCACAUCAUGGAAUGCUAUAUCUUACUUUGAGAGUUUAAAUUUUAUUGCAUAUACUAUAUUUUGCACGUAUAAACAAUUUAUUAAGCUUAUGAAUUUCACAUACUCCUCUCGUGAAAUAGAGCGAGACUGUAGUCAUAUAAAAUUAGGAUACACAAUCUUAUUCUAAAAUAUAUGACAUGCGGUAUUUCUAUCAAAAAUAUUAAUAUAAAUACGUGAAUUCAAAUUUAUUAAUUAUUUUUAUAACAAUUCGGAAUUUAAUUUCUUAAACAAUUUUGAAUUUGAUUUGACACGCUAAAAUUGGAUACGUUCAUGAUACUCGUAUAUGCUACUCCCUCCGUCCCUUUUUACAUGUCCACUUUGAAAAAAAAAUUUGUCCCAAAUUACUUGUCCACUUCUCUUUUCAAAGCAAUUUUUUGUAUGUUUUUUCACAAAGCAACAACUUCGAAUGUUUGACUAGCAUAUAUAUAUAUACACCCAACUCUAUCUAAUUCAUUACAUUUAUUAGGGAUAUGUAUGAAAACAAGAUAUCCAACUAACAUUUACUUAAGAUGCUUUAUUUUUUAAAAGAGACAAGUAAAAAUUGACGGAGGGAGUAUGCAUGGAGGUAGUAGGCAAUUGGAAUACUCCAUGUAUAUUCUACUCCAAUCCUAUUCGGCAUUGCUUAUAACACAUAACAUGUACGUAAGAGAUCUGUCUUACGUGAAAAUUUUGAUUACUCUCUACUCGAGAGGAAAAUGACAGAUAUUUGUUAGAGAGAUAUUAUAAAUAUAUGAGAUUAAAAUUAAGGUGAUCAUAGUCAAUACACUUAACCCGUUAAUGUAGGAUCAAGCGACUUGCUAGUAUUAUUUUGCAACACGUAUAAUUAAUGAUAUACUUGAGUAGACUUUCCUUAGCUGGAAGAUUAAUAUAAUCAUGGCUUAUUGACUCGAAGGAUUACUUAUCAUGUUCAUACUCAUGUCAACGUUUGACCAUGUCUGUAAUCCAAUUAUCAACAAAUUUGUCUAUAUAUUUGUACAUCAACUCAGCAUUAUAAAGAGCUAGCCACCUUUUAUUUGUGUUCCAAAAUCCAAACUUAACUUGGUAUCUUAAUUUAUAGGAUACUUGGACAGUUGAUUACUUUGGAAGUUUUUGUGAGAGAUCAAGAAGAUGAAUCCGCCACCAUCAUCGGCCAUGCCACCGCCAUCGACUGCCGUGGUGUGGCGGUCCGUGGGGCUGACAUUGAGAGUGGUGACAGUGAUAAGCUUGCUCGUGUCGCUCAUCAUCAUCUCCACCAACACCGCCACCUUGUCUUCGAAUUUUAGCCGGAUCGAGAUCCGUUUUCAGGAUGUGAAAGCUUAUAGGUACGCACUGAUUUGCCAUAUCACAUGAUUUAUUGUUUGUGGUUUGCCAUAUUCAUAUGAUUAGGUGAAACUCAAGUAGAAAACUCUCAUUGUGCUCUCUUUGUCUUAAUUUUCUUGUUCAGUCGUCGAAGUCUAAAAAUGCAACUUUUUUUUAUAAAAAAAAUAAUAUUAUUAACAGAAAUCACUUAUCGAAACCCGUCGGGAUAAGUCUCGAAAAUCUGAUUGGGAAACAAAAAACGAGUUAAACAAAUAGCCGUUUCAGAUUGCUUAGCACAUAAAUAUUUAAAUUUUUGAUCCGGAAAAUAUUUCAUCCAUAAUAUAAUGUUCAGAACUAUCAGUUAUUUCAACUGAUAUAGUAGCAACAAAUAAUCCCAAAAUAUGAAGAAAUACAAAUCCACCUUUUAAUGUAAACAACUUCAACAUUUGUUGUUUAUAAUAUUAUCUUGCCAACGUCUAUAUAGAUUUAUAGAAGAUUCUCCAUCUUUUAGUAAUUUUGGACGAUACCUAGAAAUUUCAUUCAACUCAUUGACGAAAUCAUAAAAACGCAGGUACGUGCUGGCAACAAUAGUGAUCGGACUUGUCUACAGUCUCCUCCAAACUGCAUUCACAAUCUACCACGUGACUACCGGAAAUCGCAUCGCCGGAGAUGCCCUUUAUAUUUUCGACUUCUACGGUGACAAGGUACGGCAUACAAAACCCUUCUGCAAACUCGAGUACUAACAUGAGAUAUUGUAUCUAGUUCGAAGCAUUUAAAUUAUGAUCUUUGUAUCUGCAGUUGAUAUCGUAUUUGCUAGCAACCGGCACCGGAGCAGGAUUCGGAGUUACCGUGGAUUUAAAAGAUGCGAAUUCCGGGACAAAUACGGGGAUCGACAAAUUUUUCAACAAGGCGAAUGCGGCAUCGAGCAUUCUUCUUCUCGCCUUCAUCUUUACGGCAAUAUCAUCCGUUUUGUCAUCUUUAGCGCUGCCAAAAAAGGCUUGAGCAUGGUGUAAAAUUAUUAAUGUUUUGUGAGUAGAGCUGUGAAAUUUAAUUUAAUGUAUUUAUUUAUGUAUUGGGAUGAAAUUUGUUAGGCGAGUUAUGUUCAUCUGCGUGCAAAAUAGAUAAAGGUGUGCAAGUAAGCGUCCAAUCGCAUAGGCCUUGUUGUUUACGAUAAGGACCUUGAGUAUUACUGUACAAGUGAGUCAUACAGGUGUAUUAUAAGCUGCUAUAUUUUGUUUUAAUGGAGUCGCUAGCAAAAUUGUGUAGCUGGUUUUCUUUAUUAUUUUAUGAUCAUUCAAUUUUACAAUAGCUCGUAUAUAAAGAAUCCAUCAUUACUGCAUACCUGUCUCUGUUUCGGGCCUUUCGCAACUCGCAACUCCAAGGACCGAUUUUUAAAAAUAAAAUUUAUGACACAUUAUAAAUAUAUCCCGACCACGUUUAAAAUACAGGUAUAUUGAACUAUGUGAUGAUGUCAUAGAUGAAGUCACUUCAGCACUACUAGUUGCCAGUCUGUUAUAGUCUGUUAUAAUCUGUUAGUACAAGUCCACUAGCUUAUCACAAUGUAUCAAUACAUAUAGCUAUAGCAGAGUUAGUUAGGAUACACAUUCAUUCCUGUAUAUUCCACCACUCUCUACCUUCUCUCUCUCAUGUAAUUCUCACUCUAGUUCUUGUAUGAUACUCUGUGUUUCUUAAUGAUUCAUAGCUCCAUUGUUGCAUGUUGUACUGGUAUAUGAAGCUUACUACAAGUUAAGAUGGUAUCAGAGCUAUUCCGCACAUAAUAUCGCUUCAUACACGCAAUCUUCAUCAAUUUCUUAGUGUCUUUCUUGAUUUUUCAUCAAGAUCUAGUGUUUUUGUUGUUGAUCUGUGGUUGCGAUUGAUUUGUGGAACUAUAUCCGAUCGGUUUUGUUCGAUCGAUUCACGACUAAAUGGCACCAAAUCGAUCUAAUACGUUUGCAAAUGUUGUUACUGGAACAAGUUCACAAUCAAUGGAGGUUCCUCCCAUCAAUAAUGCUGGUGGUGAUAGUGAUACUCCAUUAAUUGAUCAUCAGAAUGAGGUUAUAAGCUCUAACAUUCAUCCAUUGUUUUUACACAACAAUGAUCAGCCAGGUAUGAUUCUCAUCUCCAAGAAACUACUCGGUUCAGAGGAUUAUUGUACUUGGAAACGUUCUAUGAAAAUUGCAUUGUCAUGUAAGAAUAAGCUUGUAAUUGCAACUGGUGAAUAUAAAGCACCUGCUGAGGAUUCUGUUCUCUUUCCUCAUUGGAGGAAAGUGAAUGAUAUGGUGAUCACUUGGAUCUUGAACACUGUUUCAGAUGAGAUAAGUAAUAGUAUGAAUUACAUGGACAGUGCAUUUGAUGUUUGGAGUGAAUUGAGUGAACGUUUUUCUGCAGUGAGUGGCCACAAGAUUUAUGAAGUACAGAAAAAUAUGUUUAGACUUGAACAAGGCAAUGAUUCUGUAGAAAUAUAUUUUCACAAAUUGAAGGGGUUUUGGGAAGAGAUUAAGGCACUCGAGACACCAAUCAAGUGUACUUGCACAGCUGCAAAGGACUGGGAUGUUCGAGCAGAGAAAACUAAGUUGAUCCAGUUUCUUAUGGGUUUGCAUUCGAGUUAUACGGCUGCCAGGGGACAUUUGCUAAUGAUGAAUCCAUGGCCAACCCUGAAUCAAGCUUAUAUGCUCAUAAAACAGGAAGAAAAACAAAGGCAGGUACACUCUGAUUCAAAGAGUCCUAUAGCCAUGAUGGUUAAUUUGCCUAAACAAUCACAGGCAUCUGCUGGUUCUUACAAGUCCAAUGAUCGUGGUAAUCUUGAAUGUACAUACUGCCAUGGGAAGAAUCAUGUAAGAGAGAAAUGUUAUAAGUUGAUCGGCUAUCCGGAUAAGAACAAAAAGAAGCCAUUCAACAAACAGUCCACAUCUUCCAAUUCACAGCAGCAAAUGAAUCCACAGGCCAUGUCAGUAACAAGUUCUUGUGAAGAUGUUACCACUAGUACAUCACCUAAUAUCAACAAUUAAAUGGAAAUGCUACAAAGUCAGAUGGCAGCACUUAUGAAGAGCAUUCAACAGCCUACAACACCUAGUACUCCAUUUCAGUUUGGAAAUAACUUUGCAGGUACUGUUUUGUCUCUCAUGAGUACUUUGACUUUGUCUACUCACAUUUGGGUUUUAGAUACUGGUGCCACCAACCAUAUGUGCUGUAAUCUUGCACAUAUGCACAACUUACAGCCAUUACAUGCUCCUAUCACAGUUAAGUUUCCUAAUGGAAAUUCUGCUGAAGUAACUCAAGUUGGCUUAGUUCUUUUACAACCUAUUCAGUUUGUUGUCACAAAUGUUUUGUACAUCCCAUAUUUCACUUUCAAUUUGCUCUCUAUUAGCAAAUUAUCAGCUGAGACAAAGUGCAAUGUCUUCUUUUCGACUCAUGAAUGUCUUAUGCAGGACCAAGCCCAGAAGAAGAUCUGGACACUUGGUAAGCUUGCAGAUGGUCCGUACCAGCUAGAUAACACUCCUCCAUCUUUCUCUAAUGUACUAGCUGUAUCCAAAACAACUUCUGAUUCUGUUUUGUGGCACAAACGAUUAGGUCAUUCUUCCUUCUUUGUUAUGAAUAAAAUUGCUUGUCUUAAGCCUUUUGUCACUGAAAAUACUUGCUGUGAUAUUUGUCCCUUAGCCAAGCAAUGUAGAUUACCUUUCAAUAAAAGCACUUCAUGUGCAUCUUCUCCCUUUGACCUCAUACAUUGUGAUGUAUGGGGACCAUAUCGAACUCCAACUACUGAUGGUUGCAAAUACUUUCUCACUAUUGUUGAUGACAAUAGUAGAGCAGUUUGGACUAUCUUGAUUCCUACAAAACAACAUGUAUCUCAGACUAUCCAGGAGUUCUAUGCAUAUGUGGUCAGGCAAUUCAAAGCCUAUAUCAAAUGUAUUCGAACUGAUAAUGGAGGUGAAUUUUCCAGCAAUGAUUUGUCUGGUUUUCUGAAGUCUCAUGGUAUAUUGCAUCAGACUUCUUGCCCUUACACUCCUCAACAAAAUGGAAGAGUGGAAAGGAGGCAUCGGAAUUUGUUGGAAAUGACAAGAGCCUUAAAAUUUCAGUCUAAUGCUCCUGAUGUGUUCUGGGGAGAUUGUCUUCUCACUGCAACUUAUCUGAUAAAUCGACUUCCAACACAUGUUCUAGGUUACAAAACUCCAUAUGCCAUGUUGUUCAACGAACCACUGUCUUAUGAUAAUCUCAUAUCUUUUGGAUGUCAAGCAUUCAUGGCACAACAUUCAACUGACAAACUAGCUCCAAGGGCAGUGAAAACCAUCUUUGUUGGUUAUCCUCCACUUCAAAAAGGGUACAAGUUGUAUGAUCCCAGUACAAAUACAUUUCAUGUUUCAAGAAAUGUUACUUUUAAUGAAGAUAUUUUUCCUUUCUUCACCCUGGAGCAUAAUUCUGCUCAUAUAACUCCUACACCAAUUUCAUUUUCUGAUGAUCUCAGUACACCAUUAGACAUUCUAUCUCAUUCUGCCAGCCCCACUGAUUCUGGUAUGAAUAAUGAUGUUCCUACUGGUCCAAAUAAUCCAAUUUCUCAGGAUGAUACACCUGCAAAUGACAAUAUUUCUGAUAAUUUUAAUAUCAAUGCUGAUAUCACUUCACCUUUUGAAGGGAGUCCUGUAGAUUUUUCUACUUCUCCAUCUUCUUUUCUUCACACUGAAUAUCCUCCAGAUGAAGAUAAUUCAUCUGAAAUACCUGUUGCUGAUUCUUUGCCUACUAGAACAUCUUCCAGAGUUUGUUCCAAACCAUCUUGGAUGCAAGAUUUUCAUGUGGGAUGUGCUCAGGCUCAGUCUGUUGUUCAUGCCAACACAGUUUUAAUGCAAUGCACUACCAAUGCUGCUAAAUUUGGAAUGCAGGUUGCUCCUUCAUCUGUUUAUGCUUGUUCUGUGGCUGCAGCACCUCACAUCAAAGAGCCGUAUUCAUAUAAGCAGGCUUCUCUGGAUCCCAGAUGGAAUGAAGCAAUGCGUAAAGAAUUAACAGCGCUUGAGUCCAACAACACUUGGAAAAUUGUCCCUCAACCUGCAGGGAAGAAAAUUGUGGAUUGUAAAUGGGUGUAUAAGGUUAAAUACCAUUCUGAUGGUACAAUCGACAAAUUCAAGGCCCGUUUAGUAGCAAAAGGCUACACACAGACAGCCGGUGAAGAUUAUCAUAACACCUUUGCUCCUGUAGCAAAAAUGUCUACUGUACGCAUAUUGCUUGUUAUAGCUACUGUUAGAGGUUGGAAUGUUCACCAACUUGACAUCAACAACGCAUUUUUGCACGGAGAUCUACCAGAAGAGGUUUAUAUGACUAUUCCUCCAGGUCAUGAUUUGCAUGGUGUUGCUAAUUUUGUGUGUCGCUUGCUUAAAUCCAUUUAUGGUUUAAGACAAGCUUCUCGACAAUGGUUUGAGAAACUUGGCACUGCACUCAUGGAACUGGGUUUUACACAGACAGUUGCAAAUUAUUCCUUAUUCAUUCGACAUCAGGGUGAUUCAUUUACUGUUGCCUUAGUCUAUGUCGAUGAUAUCCUGCUCACAGGAACAGAUACUGAUUUCAUCCAUCAUGUCAAAUCAGUUCUCUAUUCCACUUUUACCAUCAAGGAUUUGGGAUUCAUCAAGUACUAUUUAGGACUUGAAAUCCAUUGUACUACUCAAGGAAUGUUCUUACAUCAACACAAGUUUGUUUAUGACUUAAUUGUUGAAGCUGGUUUGGAGAAUGCUAAGCCUGUCAAUCUGCCAGCUGAUACUAAUGUCAAACUUUCGACCCAAGAGGGGGCACUCAUAGAUAAUCCCAGUUUGUAUCGAAAGUUUGUUGGAAAGCUGUUAUAUCUCACUGUGUCUCGCCCAGAUAUUUCCUAUAUAGUUCAUCAUCUAAGUCAAUUUCUUCACAGUCCUCGAGCGCCACAUUUGAUUGCAGUGCAACGUGUGCUACGAUACUUAAAGGGAACUAGUUAUCAUGGACUGUUUUUCUCUGCUACUUCUGACCUCAAAUUACAUGCGUUUAGUGACAGUGAUUGGGGUGCUUGUGUGGAUACUUCCCGUAGCAUCACUGGCAUGUGCUUAAUGUUGGGGAAUUCACUUGUUUCAUGGCAGUCUAAGAAACAGAAGGUGGUAUCUCGUUCUACAGCUGAGGCAGAAUUGAGAGCUAUUGCUGACACUUCUUAUGAGAUAUCUUGGAUGAGUCUUCUUCUGGAUGAGUUGUGUGUGAGUCAAGAACCACCAAUUGUAAUUCACUGUGAUAAUUCUGCCGCUCUAGACAUUGCUGCAGAUCCAGUUUUUCACACCAAGACCAAGCACUUUGCUCUCGAUUGCCAUUUUGUUAGAGAACAAGUGCAGUCCAACCUUAUUAGUCCUCAGUAUGUGCCAAGUGUUGAUCAACUAGCUGACCUCCUAACCAAAGGUCUUCACAAGCGUGCUCAAUUGUUGCUACUUGCCAGAUUGAAUGUUCUAUCAGCACAUUCCAUCUGAGGGAGGGAUAUUGAACUAUGUGAUGAUGUCAUAGAUGAAGUCAGUUCAGCACUACUAGUUGCCAGUCUGUUAUAGUCUGUUAUAAUCUGUUAGUACAAGUCCACUAGCUUAUCACAAUGUAUCAAUACAUAUAGCUAUAGCAGAGUUAGUUAGGAUACACAUUCAUUCCUGUAUAUUCCACCACUCUCUACCUUCUCUCUCUCAUGUAAUUCUCUCUCUAGUUCUUGUAUGAUACUCUGUGUUUCUUAAUGAUUCAUAGCUCCAUUGUUGCAUAUUGUACUGGUAUAUGAAGCUUACUACAAGUUAAGAAGGUAUAGAUGUAAAUUGACUACAUCUGCUAUAAUACUAUACUGCAAAUCAGCUGCUAAUUAAAUCAUACUCAGAUCUCUAUAAUUUAAUUAGAUAUCUUAGUCUAUCCAAACUGAGAUCAACACAUCCAAACUGAGGAAGUAAUCUAGUAACCAACUAGCUAAUGAUCAAGUUGAGCAUUGUAGGAUCUCCCAGAAGAAUGGCUACAACUGUAGACAUAAGAGCUUUGGCGAUCUUCAAGUAUUUCUGACCUCCACCUGAGCUAAGUCCAAGGUGAAGCUCAGGAUUCUUCAGUGACAACGUGAGAGUAUCAUCGUCUUUGAAUUCCCCUGUUUUCCAAUUUUGAAGAAUCAUUUCAGUAACACAACGAACAUGGACAUGGCACUUGUUGCGCUUGGAUUUGUAUGACCAGCCCCCCUCGGAUUUUCCUUUGAGACUCUUCCUGUUGCACCAAAUGCACUUGGAUUCCACUUUGUCACACAACUUGAAUCUCACGCCAUCGCUGACCAUUUUCUUCUCGAGUUCAAGACAGCAUGGAUGCAAGUCCAGAUCCUCGUCUCGACAGUGAUAAACAAAACCAUUUAUAUGAUUCCCGCAUGCAUUACACCAUGUUUCGCGGCUUCUUGGUUCAGAGGAGAACUUCAAGGUGCAGUGCGGGUAAAAAUCAUGAGUUGAAGUUCGAGAAUUUCGCAUGCAGCUGACGUGGAGAACGUAAUCGCAGUGACUCUCUUCGCAUCGGUACCUUGUUCGUUGUUCCGAAUCCUUGCUCUUUGCAUCCGUCACAAUGGAAAGGCUUGUCGAAGUUUCGCAGCACCAGUUGAUGAUUCGGAUGGCUGGGAUGAUAAUCUCUUAUGUCUUCCAUUUCUGCAGAGGCAAAAAACAAAGUGAAGGAGAUAAAGCGGCGGAUCUUACUUAAGUGAAGUAUUUAAUUCGAAGAAUUGAGAGGAACAAAAUCGAAAGGAAAUGAGUAAUAAUGAGAGUAUGUAUAUUUCUGUGUAGUUUGUAGAGCUGGGAAAGAAAGCGAGUACAAAAAGCCGAGGAGAAAAGAUACUGUAGUAUAUAUAAGCAGGUUGGAGUUGUUCUGAGUUUCUAGGAAACUUCAGGGAAUGUUCUUGGUAGUUUACAAAUUACAAGCCUAGUUACUUUUGUUCUCAGCUGCAUGCAAGUUCGAAGUUCCCGUGGCCGUGGGCUGUGUUUAAGUCAAGUUACUUUUGUUCUCAGCUGCAUGCAAAUUCAUGUUUUCACCACCUGUUACUCUCUCCGCUAAAAUAUAGAUUGCUUGAUUUUUCACAUAUUUUUAAAUAUUUUAACAGUAUAACUAAUGUUAUUAUUUUUACAAUUUCUUUCAAAAUUAUAACAAUGAUUGCAUAUUUUUAUUUUAAUUUAUAAAAAAUAACAAUUUGAACUACAUGAUCAACAAUUUAAAAAUAUGUGUAAAAACGGCAAACGGCCUAUAUUUUAGAAUGAUACUCCCUCUGGUCCUUAUUAUAAGUCACUAAGAUUUUUUGCACACAAUUCUAGGUGCUUUGACCACACACUUAAAAUUAUUCUUUUUUAAUUUUUUUUUCUGAAUUAAAAUAUAUAUCACAUAUUUUAAUUUUCAUCACAAAAAAGGUUAUGAUUUUCUAGUGUUAAUCAUUCACUGUUGUGUCAUACAUUCUUCCUUAUCUAUUAUAAUUUUUUGUUUUAUUCAUUCCAUCUUUCAUUUCAUGCAUGUAAGUGAACAUAAAAUUUAAAUUUUUAGAAAGGGGCAAACUCAUAAAAACCUGCAUGUAU